RNAcentral lists this long non-coding RNA (78873 nucleotides) under Vitis vinifera (wine grape). Its description in RNAcentral is "long non-coding RNA (VVIN_LNC000686)". Lineage: Eukaryota; Viridiplantae; Streptophyta; Magnoliopsida; Vitales; Vitaceae. The record is from RNAcentral.
ACCUGAAUUAUAUCCCCAACAUUGAUGAUAUAAGCAUCUGGGGUGGGCUUCACUCGAAUCCAUUCUCCAUCGGUUUUUCGCUUUACUUCCAACCCUCCGACAUCAUCCUGGCCAAGGAUGGUUAAGGCUCCGGGAUCCUUGUGGCGACCAACGCCCAGAGCUAGGUGAGGGACAGGGCAAGGUGGGUAGUGAUUGAGGCGGACGAAGCUCGUUGAUUCUUCAAAGAAAAGAUUGAAUCUGUUUUCUGGCAAACCUAAGCUCAGAGAGAUGAGUCCCAUCAGCUUGAAAGCUAGUUUUUCCGUUUCUCUAGCAUAUUCUUCACAGAUCUCCCUGUAUAAAUCAGUUCAAUUAGAAUAAAAAAAACCAAGUAAUUCACUGAAGUGACUGUGCCUUAGCUGGUGAAAUUUGUACCUUAAUUCAGGAGGGUACUGAGGCCACCGAUUGGUCAGCUCUAUGAGCUCCUUGUCGUCAGGAUCAUCCGAAGCAGGGCCGAAGGCGAGGGUUCUCACCACGAAAUCAAAGACUUCUUUCCAGUCCCUAACGUUCUUGGUAUGCUCAAUAUCAAAGUACCCCAUAGGAUUCACCUCAUCUCUACUCACCUUCCUCUUCUCCUCCGCUGGCAGAGCGAAGAACUUCCUCGCGGCAUCCAAAAUUUUCCGGCGAGACUCCGAGGGCACCCCAUGGUUGAUGACUUGAAAAAAGCCCCAGUUCUUGCAUGCAUCAGCUAUUUGAGAAACAUGAUUGGAAGCAUUGGCGGAAGAGAGAUCAAUGAGGGGGAUGCCUUCAGCUUCGAUAACAGCGAGCUUAGGCCUAUGUUGGGCGUCUUGGACGAAGGCUGGAUCGACCUCUCCCAUGGCUGUGGUAGUGGUUAGAACUUAGAAAUGGCAAUUAUGCACUGGUAGCUGCAGGUGAAGAUGGUUACAGGACUUGGGCAACUCGGCAGGUGGUUUUUAUAGCUUAGGGGUGUUGGUUUAAUACCUUGAACCUGGACAUAAUAUGGGUUACGUGUUAAGUUUUAGUUCGGGGUGUGAGCUCAUGGAUUGCGCAUAUGUUAAUGAGAUUUGGUCAAGUGAUACCUAGCUAUUUCCAAAAUCUCUGUCAAUGAUUUAUUCACGGCACCCUCAAUUUUCAAAUAUUUCAUCCGUACUUGAUUUGGAAGGUUGAUUAGUAAAUCUGAUGGUGUAAUGUCUAUUUUUGAAUUCAAUGCUUUAUAUUUAACGGUGGAGAUAAGAAAAAUAGAAGAGUUGAUAACGUUGAAGAAAAAAUGCCAAAGUUUUAAGAAGGUAGAGUUUUGAUGAGAAAUAGGUAAAAUUAAAAUUGCAUUAUAAUAAUAUAAUUGAAUCAAAUCGUUAAUCACCCAUUUCAUCUCAUUCUUAUUCACAAUUGUUGAUAGUUGAUUCCUACAAAAUUCUAAAAAAAUCUUCCACAAAGACAAAUCACAAGAUGUUCAAUAACUAUGCUUUUGCACCAAAAAUUGUAUAAGGGAAAAAAAAAUGAUGCACAAAUAAUAAUAAUAAUAAUAAUAAUUGCUAUAUCUAAUAUUAUUUCAUAAGAAAACUAACUACAAUAAAUUUUAAAAGCAAAUAGCGUUUAACCAUAUUUUGAUUCUUUCAAAUAAUUUUUAAAAUUAAUAUUUUUUCAAUAUAAAAUUUUAAGAGUCUUUGUAUUUUAUAUAUAAAUUACUAAUAUUCUCUUAUUUUAAACAUAGAAAAUAAAAAUGUAACCAAAUGAAUUAGAAAAUAACAAAGUUGAAUAAAAAUUAGUCUAACCAUAUUAAUGCUAAUUAAUAAUGUUUGAUAGAAAACGCUUAAAUAUACCUUGUAUUUUUCCUCACUGGUCAACUCCUCCGAAGGCUUCACAUUCACCUGGUGUGUCGGUAAGAAGAAGAAUGGAAUCGAAACCCUUUUCUUCUUGUGUUGACCCACAUCGAGAUCGAGCUGUGUCUUUACAUCUUUAGUUGAGUUUGUUCGACUUUAAGUUGUGCCUUUAUGUUUCGAGUUUAGUUUGUUCAAUUUCGAGUUGUGCCUUUAUGUUUUGAGUUGAGUCUAUUUGGCUUCGAGUCACACCUUUAUGUUUCGAGUUAAGUCUCGCUUCGAGUCACACCUUUACGUUUCAAGUUGAGUCUCUUUAGCUUUGAACUGCACCUUUAUAUAUCUAGUUGAGUUUGUUUGACUUUUGAGUCGUGCCUUUGAGUUUUUAGUUUAGUCUGUGCGGCUUCGAGCCACACCUUUAUGUCUCUUGUUAAGUCAUAUUUGGCUUCGUUCUACACCUUUAUUGUUCAGCUUUGAGUCAUGCCUAUCUUUUCAAGUUUGUUAUGCUUCGAGCCACAUCUUUAUCCUUAAAAAGUUUGUUUGAGUUUAGUUGUGCCCUCACCCAUAUCCUUAGUUUUAAGUUUAUUUAGCUUCAAGCCAUGCGUUUGUCCUUGUUAAGUCAGUUCGGCUUUGAGCCAUGUCCUAGUUUUGAGUUUGUUCAUCCUCGAGCUGUAUCUUCCUUUCUUUUUUAGUUCAUUUAGGGUUUUCUCCUUUUGAGUUGAUCACUCCUUAUCUUGGUCGUCCUUAAAUUGUUCAUUGUGUCAUGAUUCAGUGUUUUUCAUUGCAUAUAUACUCCCCACAUUGUCUAUAUCUUUAUCUUGAUGAGUUUCUUCUCCAAUACAUGACCUCGAUCUUCGAGUUUAGCAUGUCAUGUGCUAAGACAAUUUCAAGUGCUCUUUUGUUCUUUGAUGCAAUUCACUUCAUACUAUUCAUCACUCAUGUUUCACUAUUAAUGCUCAUUUCAUUUGUGAUCUACAUCGGAGAGAGGCAUAUUUGUAGGUCCUUUAUUUUGUCCUAUAACACAUAUUUUCACAUUUUUUUUAUUUUUUUCUUGCCUUGUAUUUAUUUUUGGUGCUAGUUUUGGAUCAUUCUUACUUGAUCAUUCAUGGUCCCUUUCUUGUCCACUUUUACUCGACUCAUUAUUCAUUUUUUAGCCACAUUUUAGAGGCCAUGUUGGAGGAAUUUUGAGUCCAAGCUUAUUGUUUUUUAGAGACCCUUAGUAGGUGGCUCAUAUGAGGACACGUGUCCUCAUUGGGUAGGUUUUUUCAUUUUUUAAGAGGGGUUUUCUAGAGGCUUCUAGGGUACUGAGGACACUGUUCUCAUCUUGGCCCCCUUUUUUUUUUUUUCUUUUUUUUGUCCCUUGUUAGAGGGGUUUUCUAGAGGCUUCUAGGAUCAGCUAGGAGAGCACGUUGAUUGAUGCUUUGAUAUGGGUAACAGAUGCCACAUUUCAUCUUGCUGAACACCGGUUAGCUAUGGACUUGUUACUACUUUUCUCUUCUGUUUCGAGUUAACUUUGGAAAUGAAUCUGAAUAUAGACUGGUAUUUGCAGCUUGAUGUUUAGAGAAUCAUAUUUUAGCUGUUGUUUAAAAUUCAUUUUGGCAUGUUCGGUUGCUUCAAGCUCAUUGAUACAAUAAUGAAAUGAAGCUUUAUAUAUUUGUUACUGGGUUGGCUCUCUGUUUGGUUAUCUUUAAGUUCUGCAUCUUUUCUUUUCUCGUUGCCUUAUCUUCUCUAGGGGGUGUCGUUUGAGAAAUACAUAGUGGAAGAAAUGGGAAGCUGAAGGCUUAUCCUGGCAUCGACCUCGCGUUAGGGAACGACUUGAUCGAAGAACAUAUGAGUUUUUCAGAUACCCAGAACUCACAUCAAAAGAAGCCUCGGAGUUUAGGUCAAACACAUCAUCUGACAAGGAGUAUACCUUUGCCUCUGGUGAUUUUAUUGACUUCUGCAUGAUGGACAUCCGAGGGUGGGGACUGGAAGAGAAAUGAUGAAUCUGCCCGGCCAAGAUAGUUUGUCUAGAAAGGAACUUGUAUUAAAUGAUGGUUACCCACUAUGUUAGAUGCUGAAAUUUGGGUAUGAGUACUCCCGGUGGCAUCAGAAAGAUGAGUUGCACAAUCCUUCUCACAGUAGAAAGCCUGAACUCCGAAGUUGGGCUUUUUCAUGGCCGGACAAGAGGAGUGAUCACAAUAGUGCGAGCAAAGCCUGUCACGACCCAAAUUCUGGGUGAACUUAAGGUUUGACUUUUAAGGGUUGUACCUAUUCAAUCUACCAAUCAACCUUUGAUAACUUGAUUUUUUUUUCUCGAUAAAACAAUAUCUAAUCCCAAAUCAAUUUAUUAAGCUAAUAACUUGAUUUUUUUUUUUUUCAAUAAAACAACAUCUAAUCCCAAAUUAAUUUAUUAAGUUAAGAUUUACACUAUCAUAUUAUUUUAUUUUAUUUUUCAAAAAUCAAUCAUUACACUAUCACUUAUUCACAAGUAUAAUAAAUCUCUCAAACAUCUUAUCACCCAAAAUGAUAAGCCAAACAUUUACAAAAAAAAAGUUUUACAAAUUAAUAAAAUAUAGUGUAAGUUAUAAAAGUUCUUAUAAAUCAAAUUAAUAGUGCUAAAAUAUAAUAUAAUUGAAAAACAACUAUUAUUAUGGUUCUUUUACUUUUUGGAAUACUUCUUAUGGUUCCUUAAAAACUAUAUCUGCAUCUAAAAAUUUUAGAAAAUAAAAGGAUGAGUAUUUCCACAUUACUUAGUAAGGUGUUUUACGCCCACACAAAAUAUAAAUUCUAAUUCAAUAAAACACAAUCAUAUAUCAAAGUGUAAUUUUACAUCUAAUGUACUACAACUAUAUACAUUUAAACUAUUCAAAAUUAUCACUAACUAUAAUCAGACUCCAAAUAAUAUAAAUAAUAUUUAUUUUCUCCCAAAAACAUAAUAUGUAAUUUUGUUUCAAAAAAAAAUAUUAAAUAAAAGUUUUAGGGUUAAACCACCCUACAUUAAAUCUGAAAAUCUAACUGUUAAAACUAAAAUCAGAUUCCGUGAAAAUGUUCUUUACGUUAAAUAGAGUGUUCUAAAAUCUCAUACAAAACGGAGCUCAUUAUUUCUUCUCUUCCUUUGUGUUUCCGUUUGCGCUCUCUCUUUUAUAUUCUUCUUUCUUACCCCACAAGACAUUCCUAUUAUUAUUAUUUUUUUUCAUUUUUCUUUUCUCUCUCUUUUCAACUUUAAGCCACCGUUUUGCCCCUUUUUUUUUUUUUUUUAUUAUUCUUUAUCAACCAUACCUUGUUAAGAAAUUUAUUUAUUUUAAUCCAAAAAUCUACUUAAAUAUAAUUUCACAUUUUUCUUAAUAAAUUAUAUAUAUAUAUAUAUAUAUAUAUAUAUAUAUAUAUAUAUAUAUAUAUAUAUAUUAUUUCUUAUUAUAACAAAUUUAAAAUGUCACGCGUAUCAUUUUUUUAAUGAAUCAAAUUAUUAUUAUUUAUUUCAUAUUCUAUAAUUAUAAAUUAUACUCAAUAUAUGAUUUACUGUCUUACAAAAAAUAUUAUUAUAUUCUUAAUUAAAUUUACUACAAGUCUACUUUUUUUAAAAAAAAUAAUUUGACUUUAAUCACUUAAAAUAUUUUUAUUAUGAAAUUCAUUUAGGACAUGAUUUCAUUAAUUAUAUAUUAAAAAAAAAUUCAAUUUUAGAAAAAAUCUAAAGCAUAAAAUAAUUCUUCAACAUUAAGAAGCUAGAAUUCAUAAUAAUAUUUAAUCCUUUAAUUUUACCAAUAUUUAUUUACCAAUAAAAUUUAAGCAAUAUUCUAAAACUUAAUUCCAUUAGUUAUUUAGUCAUUCAAUUUAUACAAAUCAUAUUCUCAACCUUUGAUAUAACUUUUAUUUAAUUUACUUUAUUUUUCAAAUUUCUCAAUUGAAUCAAAAUUUCAAAAGUUAAAUUCACUAAGUAUUUAAUUAAUUUAGCCUUUUAUAUUCCCUAAAUUCAUAUAUCAUAAUUUACUCUUAAUUUAAUUUCAAUUCAAUUUUAUUUGAUGUUUUUUUAAUUCUAUAAGAUUUAAUUCUAAUUAUAAAAUUAUUGAUUUGUUAUAAAAUUAAAUUCGAUUUUUUUUAAUUAUCCAUUAUAACCAUUUGAUAUGAUAUAAAUUUUUACCAAGUUUUUCUCACUACAAUUCUCUAUAAUUAAAUUAAUGCUCAUAAUAUACUUAAUAUUCAAUUUUUCAAAAAUAAUAUCAAUAAUUAUUUGAUGGUUGAAUUUUUCUCCAAAUUUAAAUUUAUUUUUUAAAAUUUCUACUCUUUGCAUCUUACCUAAGAAAAUUUUAUACUAUUGACUUUUUAUUAACUUUUUCAAAAUAUUAACACUUGGAUUUUCGCCAUUCUUUUUUACUAUUCGACUAUAUGAUAACUUUGCUGAUCCUGAAUCUGACAUGUCAUUAAAACCCCGGUUGUUAUAGCGCCAGUCAAAUUAAGCCUGUUAUCCGAGGAGUGAAGCCACUGCCUUGUUCUUUCUCCGAUGGCCUGCUCAGCUCAUUCAAUCCCCAUCGCUCUCCUCUUUCCAAGUUCUCCAUUGUCAGUCUAGAGCCAACAAGGGUCGCAGAAAUCCUAAAGAUUGACCUACAUGGUAUUGUGAGUACCGCGAUGUGGAUGUUCUUAAUGUGUUGUCUACUAGAGCCAAAUGGGUGUUUGAUAAAACCCAGUAAAGGUGUAAAAAUUAUAUGACGAAGCUUGCAGAAAGACUUAGAGUUGAGGGAAGGCAUCUCAACGAAGUUGGGCUUUUGUAUUGUGAAUCUGGCAAAUUACCUAUAUUGCAUGGAUCAUCACUCUUUUCACGUGGAGGUAAACAGGUCCUUUGUAAUGUGACACUUGGGGCAUCACAAGCUGGUGAUGCUCAACGACUGGCUUCUCUGGACGGUCCUGCAACAAAGCGCUUCAUGCUUCACUGAAAUUUCCCGGAGUUCUCAAUUAAUGAAGUUGGCCAACUCCUUAACCUGCACUGUUCCGCAGCAGUCACAUAAAGAUUUGACAUUGAAAUUGAUCUGGUUUUUCCUUUGCCAAUGGUGGUGGGCGCUUUGUAUGUAGAUUCCGAAGGAACUUCCCAACUUGAUGGCUGUGAGUGGUAAGGUUGGAGAAGAUACUACUGGGUCUGCCCCAUUAGUUUUCCAUUGUUAAGGUAGUUUGGUGCACAGGUUCCUGGAUCAUCUACACCACUAGCACUUCCGGCCGCCUGUUUUGAUCAGUUUCUGGAUUUCCAUCUCCAAAUUGUGCAAGCAGUGACUGAUAUGGUGUCCAUACAAGCGGCUACUGAAAUGGUUCAAUCCCCAAAUGCUGAAGGGAAAGGAGCUUUUGGAAAAUAUCAUGAAGAAGACUCAUCCAUCUUACAUGAAAUUAUACACAACUCCAUGGACCAGAACCGGAACUCAGACUUAAAUUUGUCCACGAGAAGAUCAGUGUUAUACAAGUCAACUGCAGUCAUUCCUGAAAGAAGUGAUCAGAAGAGUAAACCUGGAAAAGCAGUGAGUGUAACAAGUUUUGUGACAUUGAACAAUUUGCAGAUGGUGUUCCCACAAGCUCCUUUCCCCUCUUCCCACGUGCAUGAAAUUCCUACGUGCAUGGGCCACCUUCUUAGGUGUGCAAUUCUGCGCAUAAUGCUCAAGUGUACUACCACCCUCUUCUUUUUUGAAAAAUUGAUUUUAAAUUUAAAUUUUUGACAAAAUUCAUUCCCCUUUUAAAAUCCCUCCUCAGUAAUUCUCUUCAAAUUAAUAAAAUCUAUUUUCAAUAAAUUUUUGCUGCCAUUUUCCUUUCGGCAUGGACCCUUUUUCUAUUUUCUUUGAUUUUUAAUAAUUUUCCAAUUUUUUUUAAUAAAUAUGAAUAAAUUCUAUGUUUUUAAAAAUAAUGGAAUUUUCUCCAAAUUUCUAUUAUCUUUUUCUCCAUGAUCAUUAGGAAGAUGAAAUUCCUAAAAUUAAUUCAUGCAAAUAAAUUGGACAUUGGUAGGCCCAACAUAUGAUUUUUUCUCCUUUGAUUAUUGUUUUUAAUUGCUAGGCUUGAUUGACUAACGAUUGAUCUUUGCCUUCUCCCUUAGCUUACUGCUCAAGUACGUUCGUCCUUUCUUUGCCUCUUUGUUUAAUUAUAGUCAAUGUUUUCAAAAUCGGACCGAUCAUUGAAUCGGAAAAGUUACUGGUUCACAGUUCACUAGUCGAAUCGGUGGUCGAACUGCGGUCGAAUCGAUGACGUCAUAAAUAUAUAAUUUAUAAAUUAUUAAAAUUAAAAAUAAUUAUAAAAAUAAAAAAAAUAAUUUAUAUGUUAUUUGAAAAUUUAAAUUUUAUUUAAAAAUAAGAAAAUUAGUUUCAAAUUAGAAAUUAAAAUUAAAAUCAUAAUUUUAAAUUUAAUUUUAAAAUUUUAAAAUUCAUUUUUAAAUAAAAACUUAUUUUAAAAUCAUGAAUUUAUUUAAAAUUAUAAUGUUUUCAUUAAUUUAAAUUAAAAUCAUAAGUUUUAAACAUCAUGAAAUAAAAAUAAUAAAUAUAAAAGAAAAUAAAUAAUAAUGAAAUGAGGUAAUAAAUAAUUAAAAAAAAAAUGGAAAAAGAGAGGAGAGGAGCACACAAAAAAGGGUUCCAACGGGGUUUUGGGGGGUGGGGUUUCCACUUUUAGGGCUAGGUGGGGGGGCCUUCCGAUGGGCAAAAAGGGGAAGAGCUUUUCGGCUUUUCCAGCGCGCGCGGGUGGGGGUGGCGACAAUGGGAAAAAAAAAAGUUGAAUCGGACGAUUCCAUCUGAAUAAUCCGGUUCAUUGGUCGGACCACCGAUUUAAUUGGUCCAAUUCUGGUCUAACCACUUUCUAGCCCAAUUGAUCAGACCAGACCGAAAUCAUGACUGAUUGAUUCGGUCCAAUUUUUAAAACCAUAAUUAUAACUCAAUCAUAAUACAUCAUUGAUCAUUACUUGGUAUUUGUUGACUUUCUAAUCAAUUGUCAUUCUUAUAUUAACUUGAUUAUUAGAGACUUGAUUUUAGGGUAUAGAGGGGUGUUAUGACUAAUCAUCCUACCUUCUCGAUAAGUAACCUGACCCUUGAACCCAAAUUCAGUUUUUCAUAAACUUGUCUUUUUCUUUCAAGUUUCAUACUUAGAAUUUUCAUUUUUAUUUUGUUUUCCAUUUAAAAAUAAAAUAAAGAUAAGUGGCCUAAAACCAUUUUCUAAAAAUCAAUUUUUCAUCAAUGCAAAGUGAGUCUUGUCCUUUUUUUUUCAAGUACGAACACGAUCGCAGGUUUACAAUACUAUUUUAAUAUAUAUAAUGAAAUAUAGAUAUUAACGCCAUCUUAAAGAUAUAAUUAAAUUUUUUGUUUAAAAUAAAUUAUAAUAAUUUAAAAAUAAUAUUUUAUUUAAAAUAAAUUUUAGAAUAAGCAAAGUUGAUAUGUGGACAUAGAGAAUCGUGAACCAUUGUAAAUGUAUUGAUUAUAUCUCUUUCUUCCCAUUUCAUUUUUACUUUAGUUUUUAUUAUUCGUAUCUUUUUCUACUAAAAUUUGAAAAAGAAAUUCACAUUCAAUUCAUUCACUUCUUCUUGGGUGUAUAUCAUAGGAUUCAAAAUGUUUUUAAAAAUUAUUAAAUUUGUUAAUUGUGACUACAUGCUUAUUUAGGAUCCAUUGAUCUUAAUAACUUUCUUCCCGAUAAAGGAGGAAAAUGACUAUUCCAUUAAUGCAGCAUGCAUUGCUGCUUAUUUAUCAAGCAAAUUACAUUAUUUUUUUCACACCAAACCUCAAAAUUCUCCAUGCAUAUACGCAUCCUAUACUGCAUGGCCAACUUCAGAGAGCUAAAAGAAGCUCUUAUUGAAUACAUGAUAGAUAAUGUCCCACUGACCCUUUUACUCUGAUACCUUGAAAUGAGAAAUUUGGAGGUUUUCCACAUCAAGCUUCUUGAAAUUAUUGCGCCUUCUCGUAACAAAGAACUUUCCCCAGUUGUAUGCUCUAUACUUUGGCUUUUCCCCCUUCGUCAGCUCCUCCAAGGGCUUCACCCAAACAUGGUGCCCGGGACUCAAAACGAACGGAAUCGAGAACCUUUACCUCUCUGAAUUCUCCAUCACCCUGUGCUCCACACUUUCAUAAGUAUCGUUGCUCCAGACCUGGUUUAAUAUCAGUAGAAUUAGCCAAAUGAGUGUAAAAUUCCUUGAGCCAAACAGUACUGAUAAGCAUGUACUUAUAAUUCAAAGUUCUUGGGUGGUACCUGAACUAUAUCCCCAACAUUGAUGAUAUAAGCAUCUGGGGUGGGCUUAACUCGAACCCAUUCUCCAUCGGUUUUUCGAUUUACUUCCAACCCUCCAACAUCAUCCUGAGCAAGGAAAGUUAAGGCUCCGGAAUCCUUGUGGCGACCAACGCCCAGAGCUAGGUGAGGAAUGGAGCAAGGUGGGUAGUGAUUGAGGCGGAUGAAGUUUGUUGAUUCUUCAUUCAGGGAUUAUUUCAUCCCUUUUAACCAAAUAUUUAACAUGAUCAAAGACUAUUCCCUAAAUGAAGGCAUACUGUAGCAAAUACCCUUAAUCUGAACAUUGAAAGUACAACUUAAACUAGUAUCAAACACUCUGUUUUUAAACCCAUAGCUACUCCAAAUAUCCCAAAUACUCUUUUCUAUGUAACCUCUCUUUGUCUCUUUCUCGCUCACACACACAUGCUUCCCCACAAAAAUACAUACACACAUAGAGAAGAACACAAUCUCUUAUCCGAUUCCCUUCCGAUUUAUGAUUCUAAGCUGGCGGGUCACUCUCUUAUUCUUUUGCUUUCUUGCGAUGGAGCUCCAUGCUCUCCUUUCCUCAUUUUUUUUCUUGGAUAAAUACUCUAUAAAACAUCCUCUCUCGAUGCUCUAUCUAAACUCACUUGCUCAUUUCACAUUUUUUUCUUUUUGGAUGCUUUCUUUAUGCUCCCAGGCAUAUGCCAGUUUUUUAUGACUAUUUUUGAAGUUGGGAUUCAGAAUUCACUAAAAUCUUUUCUCAAACUUGGAUUUUUCUCAACUCAACCCUAACUUCUUUUCUAUCAGUACCAAGGCUAGAGAAUAUAGUUUAUACCCUUGUAUUUCGUUAUGUACCAAGCCCACAAGAUGAUCAAUAAGUUUCUCUCUAGAUUUUACAUUGGAGUUGAUUGAUGACAUACCCUUAUUAGGUACUAUAUUCUCUUCCUUAGGUAUUGCUUUUUCCUUCCUUAGAUACUACCUUUGCAACCUUGGGUGCACGAUCGAAUCCAUCGUUUCAUGGCCACUUCAAGUAAGUCAGGAACUUAUGUACAUGUGUGCUACAUGUCUUAUAGGUAUUACCUUUACAUUCUGUAGGUACUACCUUUACCUUCCAUAGGUACAAAUAUGAUUAAUAAUAAGAAUUUUAACAUAAAAAAGGGAAAAAUCAUGUCUGAUAAUAAAAUUGCAUAUAUUUUCUUUCUUGCUUUUUUUUUUUUUUUUGGGUCUUUGCUUUGGUUUUUAUUUAUGUGUUUGUUUCUUUUAGUCUUUGUGUGUGUGUGUGUUUUAUUUUAUUUUAUUUUUUUCAUCCCUAUGCAGAAGAUGUAGAGGAAGCAACAUCACAUCAUAAGGUGCAUUUUUCUGUUCAUUUAAGCCUAAAGGUUCUGGAUUCACAAAAUGGUGGGAACUAAGGGUGAGAAACUGGAAAAAAAAAUGUUGGAUUGAGCUACAUUUGAUCAAUAGUGAAUUUGCAAAAAAGAUUGUAGGAGAGGUUUCUUGAGGUGGACAAGGUCAGAAGCAAGGAGCCUUUUCCUAGUUUUUGGGAAGAACUUAUUGUUAACGUGUGAAUUCAUUAAGGGUAAUUUAUGUAAGAUUUUCUAGAUUUUGCAAGUGAAUGCACCUUAGCUUUUCCUAUUGUAUUUGUGUUUUUUUAGGUUGAUUAUUUUAUUGAUCGUCACCACUCAAGGAAUGGAAGCAAUAGGGUCUCUAGAUGUACUGCGUAAAGGCGGGCAUACAGGCGUUGUUAGGAAUGUGUUUCCCAUGUCCAACAAGCAUAUUGACACCACCUAAAGCCAAGGCAUCUUUGGACGAGGAGUUCUAGCUUCUACUUCUGUGGACUUUGUAGAUGUCGUCUGGCUCUUCUAAAUAUUUAUUGUUAUGUAGUAGUUAUACACAUGUACUUUGUUUAAGUGAAUUGAUUAUUGGAUUUUUAGUUAAAUCAAAUUUAAGGGUAUGUUGUUUAAUUUACUAGUGAUCUCUUGUUUGUAAUUCUCGUUAUCAUAUAUAAAUCUUUGUUAGCAUUUUCCAAUUUCCUCAAUAGCAACUAUAUUAGUUUUCAGUGGAAUGAAUCUUGAGUAACUUGUAGUAUCAUUUUUGGUUUUGAAUUGACUAAUCUGUUUUGGAAGGAUGAAUUAGAUAUAUGAGCUUGAUUGCUAACAGUAGUUGAGUUUGUUUUGAUCUCGGGAUAUUUGCCUUGUUGAAUAGGACGUAGAUUUUGGGUCCAAAGAGUUGAAAAUUGAUGAGCUUAACCAAGACAUAGGAGAACCACAUGCAACACUAACCAGAGUUCCUACAACAAGCUAAUAACCAUGAUUUAGAAAUGUGAUUUCGUUAAAGGGAAGCAUUUCUAAUCUUAUUUGAAAGGAAACUUUGAUGUCUUCCCUAAUACACUAGAAUAUUAAUUUAAAAACAACAAUUAAGGUUAUAUUAACUAUUAUAAUAAUUUAUAAAUUAUAUAAAUAUGAUAAUAACUAUUAAAAUGAAAGUAUUAAAUGUAAAAAAGUUUAAUCUUGUUGGGUAAAAACUUCAUCAAUCUUUUAUUAUUGAACUUCUAUUAUAUAAUCAAACAUAGUGAUGAUCCUCGGUUGGAUUAAUCAACACUUGUUUCAUAAAUUGAACAACAUAUAACAUGAUCAACCAUAAACAAACAAGUAAACAUCAUACUAGAUAAAACUAUCUCUUAAGAUUUCUAUUAUUACAUGUUUAAAUUACAAAUCAUAUUUUUGCAACUUUCGUAAAAUUAUGCAAUAGAUAUGAUUAAAAUUACGAAACAUCGGAAAUGUAUAUUGAUUCAUUAUUCAGAUUCAUCAUAUCAUAUAUAUCCUUUAGUAGUCCAUAAGAUCAAAUAAUAACCAAAAUUCAAAAAAUAUGUUUUAUGAUCCAAAAUUGAUUGACACUAAUAUCAUUUGUUAAAUAAACUUUAUGUGAAAUAAUUAUUUUGGAAAAUCAAUUUGGAUGCAUAAUGCAUAAUAGGUAUAAGAAAUAAAGAAAUGACAAAAUAAUAAUUAUAUUCUUGUCUUAAUCCAUGAUACUGAUAACACUUGUAAUGUGAAUUUGAGUCAUUUUGUGAAUUGUUGGGUCAAGGUCUUCAACUCACCAUUCUCAUUUAGUAGAUGAGUCAAUUGUGUGGUAUAUGUUGUUAUAAGUAAAACAACUAAAAACAUAAGAAUGCAAUGUGACUUAGGACCUUAACUUUAUAAAAAAGAUUUAUAACUCUUAAUAUUCUCAUAAAAGAUUAUAUGAAAGUUAUACUCAUUAUUUAUAAACAUUAUACACAGAUUAAUGGACAAUGGUAAACUACCAACUUGAAUACAUUCAUGUAAUUGUAUAAAUUACACUUUUUCAUCUUCCUCUAUUAGUCAUAAACUUUAUGUACAAAUGAAAUCUCAUAAAGAUGGAGUUACACAAGUUGUAAUACCAUAUUCUUAUAAAUGAAAUUUUUCUAACUCUGUAUUUAUAAUUUUAAUCUUCUAUGUUAGAAGUUGAAUUUGUUCCACGUCGCCAAGUUAUUGGGUUAUUAUGUUGUUCAUAUAUGUAGAUUGGUCACCUCUCCAAGCUAGCUUUUGGGAAUGAAUUCUAUUCAAACCCAUUUAACAUGGUAUCAGAGCUUGGUUUGACUGUGGGUUGUGGGUUCGAGCCACCUCUCUGCAAUUCGCAUGUUUGUUCCUUAUUUGCAUGUUUGGAAGUCUAGAAAAGGUUAUUUGCAUUUGUUUGUCUCUUCACGUGUGGAUAUGGGACCACACAUAAGAGAGGGUGUUAAAAAGCUUGAUAUGUACGUAUAUUGAACCUAAAUCUUAUAAGUUUAAGCUUUUAGGAAAAUUAGUAAUUCAACAUUCUAUACAUAAAAUUAUUUGAUGUCCAAUCAAUUGAUUCACCUACCUAUCAAUUAAUAUACUUUUAAAUAAAAUAUAUUUCAAUCCAUUACACAAAUAUAAUUAAAACAAAAUACUAUAGUAAUGUGAGUAUGUGAUAAAUAAAUAAAAUAAAAAUAAUCACGUGUUACAUGUAAACUAUAUUCAAAGGAAAAACCCACUAUUAAACAAUCCAUUGUAUAAUGAUCAAUUACAAAGACCAAGUAUUACCAAACUUAAAAGUAUCUAAAUCAUACUCACUUUGCACAUUUUCUUUAUACUUGGAUCCUUUAAACACAUUUAUCCCAAUGUGGAUGCAUCUUGAGUUCUAAUCAAGGAAAUCAACCUUUGAGUAAAAUUUUCAUCAAGUUAAAGUCUCUUUAUAUCAUUGAGAACCAUAUCAAGAUUUCUUUUUGUUGGUUGCUUUCAAAGUCCCACUAGAAUUAGAAUGAACAUUUUAUAAAUUCUAGGACUUUAACAUAUGAAUUCUUCAAUGAGUCAAUCAAAUAUUAAAUUUUAUCUCCAUAGAUGGACCUCAAUGAAUUUUUCAACAAAUUAAAGGUGUUAACACUAAUUUCAUAUUAGAAAAAAAAAAAAAAUCAUGUGACACAUAUUGAUAUAUAUAUAUAUAUAUAUAUAUAUAUAUAUAUAGGUGUUGUCUGGGAUAAAUAGAUUGAAUUCAUGAGAAAAUUAUUCUUAAUUUUGUAAAAAUUAUAUAUAUAAGAAAGUUUUUAGACUUACUAAAACACAUUACUAAUCAAGUGGUAAUAUUUAUAUCUCAUUAUUUUGUAAUCAAGUCUCAUUCAUUUGUAUCACAUAUGAGUCCUAUUAUUUUAUACCUUACUCUUAUUAUAUUGUACUUUGAUCUUAUUUGUUUAUACAUCGAUUUCAUUUCUUUAUAUGUUCAUCAUAUUUAUUUAUAUCUCGAUCUUAAUUAUUUAUAUCUUUCAAUAGUUUAGAUUUCAAUACAUAUUUUUAAAUAUUUUAAUUGGAAAUUCAAUAUCUUACUAUUUUUCUAAAUAGCUACCUAUAAUCCUUUGUAGACUCAAAAUUCACUUCAAGCCAUCAAAAAAAUCGACCUCUCUUUGUAAGUUGCUAUACUCAUUGCUAAACUAUAAUUCCAAAAAUAGCAGAACUUUUCAUACUUAUUCUAGGCAAUUAGAGUCGAGAUGUUCCAGGCAUAUACCAUUGUCUUUCAAGAUUUGAAAGAAAUGUUACGAUUUCAGCAUGAAAUAAUGCAUGUCGAUUAACAAUAUUGCUCAGAUUCUUUAGGCAAAGGUCCCAGCCUAGAGAUUGAUAAUGUUUCUUUGAAGCAAAAUGACAAAAUGGAAUAACACAAGAAAGCCAGAACCAAUUAAGUGUCCACAGACAAAAAAAUUUAUUUAUUUAUUUUCUGAACCACCCCUGAAAUUGACACCUCCCAUACAGUCUGCAUUUCUGUGGCACUAUUUCCCUUAUUCCUAACCAUAAAUCUGCUGCCAUCUCAAUAAUUCACAUCCUUAUCCACUCCUUAUCUAGGGUUGUAACACUUUUUUCAAAAAGAUUUUUUUUUUUUUUUUUCUAAGGGGUGGAUAAGGGUCCUGAGACAAGCUGUGGAAUAAUUAUAAACCCACUUGGGUAAUGGUUUCAUUGUCAGGGUAAUACUAUUUAAGGUGAAAAUCAGCUGGGUCUAUCAUUCUUGUUUCCAUAUGACUGUUUCCAAGGAUAACUCAACCUUCAAAUCCAUCGAGCAGUCAUAUAAAAAUACACGCAGAUUUCAUAUUUUGAAGCUUGUCCUGUGUUCAGAUCGGAUAACUCACUCAUAUGCCUAAUCACCAAUCGCCAACUUGAGCGUAAAAAAAGCGUGGGGCGAUAUUAUUUGUAUAUGGGUUUGACUGUUUGAGAGAGAAAGGUGGGGUGUCCCUUGGAGGAGUCCAAAGGCCAUUUUUGAACCUGCCUUUGAUUAUCGCCAUGGCAAAUCAACAGCUUGUAGUGUAUAUAUAUAUAUAUAUAUAUAUUAAUGGAGACCAAGACUCAAAUAGAGAGAGAGACGCGGGAUGCGAUAAAGAGAACAGUAUAGCCAAGAGUAUAUAAGCAUUUCUAUUGCUGUAAUGGUGAUUCAGAGACUGGAAAUGUGUAUAUCACUGCUGAAAAUGGCAGUAGAGUUUGUGCUUGUUUUCGCGGAGGCAGUCGGGCUAGUCAUCAACCACAAUGCCACGCCGCUUUUGGCAAACUCAGCCUCAGUUGGCAAUGAUGUUUCUGUCCCUUUUAUCGGUUUUCUUCUUUGAAUUCUUCGUCUUGUAGUUUCCUUCCUUAGCAGAAUGCCCAUUGGCCAUUGUAUACGUUGAGGUUUCAUUUUUGUCUUGAUAGAUUUUGCCUUGGAAAGUGUCUGUACUACCAGCUAAAAGAUGUGAAUGUUUGAUAGGAGAGAGUACAUAUAACAUCUUUGUAAACUUCGAUUAAUUUUGGUUCUGGGUGAGCUUCAUCUUCUGCAAAUUCAUUUGCUGGUAGCUUUGGAAAUGAAUCUUCAGUGGUUUGGGUGGUGAUUAUUUGCUUGCUUCACACGAUUUUAUGUGUUGUUCCUUUGGUAAUAAUCUUGUUGGAUGGAUCAAGGAGGAGCGAUGAUCAGGAAAAUAAAGUCGGGAGAAAGAAAAGAUAUAAUGAUGAUUAAGAAAGGCUUUAAUAUACUUGCAAGAUCAGGAAAAAAUAUUUCUUGGUUAAUCAAUUAUUUUCUUGCUUGAUAUGGGUUUGAUACUUUUUGUCAAUUGGUGAUCAUUCUGGGAAGAUCAGGAAGAAGAAAAUGGGGUCUAGAUGAAGAAAAGCUAUAAUGGUGAUUAUUAAUUGAAAUCAGAUGAAAUAAAAGUCUGUUUCCAUCAUUCUUAAUAGGGUUUCAUAGUCCCCGCAGGACUUUAGUACUCAUCAAACUCAUAAAUUUUGAACAACUUUGAGCUAACCUUCUGCAUUAAUUUGGUGCAUCUGCGCAGUUGCAGAGUAUGAACACCCACAAAAUCUUAAUAUGAAUCUUUUGGGGCAAUAGCUUCUAUAUAUGAUGGAUGAUAAGAACAAAGCAAAUCUUGGGUUCUCCAUGGCCACGAUCAUUUAUCCGCCAUAUAAAAUGCAGAUUUUCCUAACACCAACCCCUUAUUUUAAUAAAGUCAAGUUAUUUUAAGGCCCCCAUUAUUAGACAUGCCCUAGAAGCAUUGGGUCUGUGAUUAAAAAAAUGUAGUAAUAUCAUUUAAAAUAUCUAACACUGAAAUUUUGAUAAUUUUGAAUGUCAUAGUGUGGAUUUGAAGAAAGAAAUCGUAUCCAAGAUCUCUUCCUUUUCCUGGGAAACAUUAGUCUUGGUCAAUUAUGAACUGUUACACGUUACCUAUCAUGAUCAUAUUUAUAUUAGCUUUGAUUUCUAUGGGGGUUAUAAUUUAUUUGUAUGCUAAUCAUAGAGGUGAUACAUGUGAUCCACAUGUCAUAUUUGGACUUGGAACCAAUCAUUGGAUUCCUUUGAUGAACUGGCAAUGGAAGAAUACUAAUUGCUCCGGUCCCUUUCUUUUUUCAACGUAGGAUGAUCAGGUCCUUUGAUCUCUUCCACACCCACUGGCUGUUUUUCUUUGUUCCUUUUUCAAUCAUCCAUAGCUGAAAAGCCUUGAUGCCCUCCUUGACUUUCCCAAGAUAAAACACCUUAUCUUCACUUUCUUUCUUUUCCCUUUAAAUUUGAUUUUAGAUCUGAAAUCCAGGGCUUAUGACCCUGUAGAAGAAAGACAGAUAUGAAGCUUGGGAUGAUUUGAACUUCAGUUUGAUUUUCUGCACACUGUUUAAAACUCCUGAAAUAUAGUUGUAUAUUGCAAUACAUUUAUAAUUGAUACAACUGAACCAUGAUGUUUCUAUUAGUAAAAAUUUCUUUGAAUCAAUCCACAGUUCAAAGUACCAAUUUCAAUUGAAACUUUUUUCUUUUCCUGCUUAUUCAAUUGUUUCGUUUUCCACAUAAUGGUAUGACAACAUCAAGAAUACUUCUCAGCAAUUGCCUGCAGGUGAACCCAAAGCUCUUUUGGCUGAGACAUCAUGACCAUGUGAUCAGAUCCUUUAAUCUCUUUAACAGCAUCAGGUGGGUUUUCUUCGAUCAUCCAGAGUUGAAAAUCCUUUUUCGCCAGCUUGUCUUCCUCAGAAAUAAUAAAGACACGUUUAACCGAGGCAUAUUUCUUCGACAACAUGAGAUCCUUUGACAUGUCUUCUUCACUGAACAAGCGUAAGGGUCUCAUCAACAUAGUCCCUAGUGCCAAGUCCUGGAAAAUUUGUGCCCAAAAUGAUAUAACAACAACAAUGAAAAGUCUCAUGAUUUUGGCUGUAAGGCCUGAAUUAAUGAAGUUCUCACCUCAGUUGGGCUCAACUGAUACACAUUCAGUGAUGAGAACAAGGGGCCAAAGGUGAAAGUGGUGGGAGGAUUGUUGGGGCCAUUAUCAUAUGUGAACUGGCUGUCUAGUAGAGGACCUUGUCUCCUGAGUGACUUCAAUAAGAAGUAGAAACCAGGCUAAAAGUCAGAAACAGGGGAAGCCUUCCCCUCUUAAUCAACAAGUAAAUUUCUGUAAAAGAAAAAUAGUAUGUAUGAAGUACCUCUUGAUUGAGAGUGGAAAUGUUGAGAGUGGGACCAGGCAUUGAGGCAGUAACAAAAACAGCUACAGAAACCUUUUCUGGGAACUUCUCCAUGGCCUGAGAAAUGGCCAACCCACCCAAGCUGUGUCCAACGAGAACCACCCUUUCAUCUGCAGGGAGUGACUCCAUGAAGUCCCUCAGUGGCUGGAAAUACUCAGAAAUAGAUCGCAGAUCACCCACUUGUUUUGGGUUAAUUCCAGAAGCAGCCAAGUCCAGAGCAGUGACUUUGUGGCCAGAUGAUUUUAGUAGUGCCACAAUCUUGUACCAAGACCAGGCACCAUGGCAAGACCCAUGAACUAGAACAUAGUGCUUGACGGGAUUAGCCUGUCUCCCCUCUGAUGCCAUUGAAUACACUGAAGAAACAAGAAAAAUCAGAAAGGAAACUAAAAUCGUAUGCUUCUUCCUUUCCUGCGUACUCCUUUCCUGUUACAGAGAUGGUCAGCACCCAAGCAUUUUAAAGGGCACAAUUGGCUUUCACUACAACUACUAAUCUAAUGGAUUAAAAUUUUUCCUGUGAAAUUGACUCUAGAAAUAAAAUAAGGAUUAAGGAUUCAAGAAUAUGUACACAUAGACUGCCAGGGUUUAAAAGAUGACACAUGCACCUGCGUCACACUCUUUUUCAAUGAUAAAGAAGUUAUGCAAAGGAAGAAAGAAUGAAAUAUACAGAGUCUAGUAGUUAACUCCUCCCCUUGAAUUCUUCUGUUGCCCGGAUUGGUUUGUAACUGCAAACAUUUUCUUUUCCCAAUGUGAUCUGUGGAUUGAGUUCUGAUCUCAAUUUGUUUUUGGCAUUUUUGGUUUUGCUUCUGCAAAUCUUGAGAUGUAUCUUUCAAUUAAUAUAAGUAAGUUAUGCAGUAAAGGUUUUUGGACAUAUAAAAUGUUAGCCAAACCUUUCCCAUGGCGGGUUGAAGGUACUUUGGGGUAGGCUUGGUCACGCUUGAUACCUCAAUCGGACUGAAACAUGAUGUUUUCACCCAUUUGAAUUGGUCAAAGCUGUGUUGACUGGCAUGAUUCCUUUAAUAAAGAAGUUGUUUUUGGAUUAAGGCCUACAACACCAAUUUCACUUAAAUACAUCUAUUUAAUAAUUAUGUAUUAACAUAAUUAUAAUCAAUUGAGUCGAAAACAAUUAAAUUAAAAAGUUAAUUAUAUUGACUUAAAUAAAAUCUGACUCAACCAGAUUAUUAAAUAAAUUACUCAACUUAUUACAUGUUUAAUAAUUAAGUCGUAUUUGGGUUUAUACUUUUAACUCAAUUAUUAUUCAUGUUAUAUUUGUGUUGACUUAUUAAGUCACAGUAUCUAAAUUUAAUUUGAUAUGACAUGAACACUACCCACCAACAUUAAUUGUAUCCCCUGUUUUAAGUUCCGGUGGCAUCAUGAGUUUGGCCUCUGUUUUGAGUGUUGAAUUAACCUUUCCCAUGGUUGUCAAGUUCUUCAUAAAUUAUUGGUGAUUGUAAUAAUUUCCUCAUAAAUUAAUGGCGCUAUAUGCUUCUUUAGGAUCCAUUGAUCUUACUAAUUCUCUUCCUGGUAUGGGAAGAAAAUGACUCUUCCAUUAAUGCAGCAUGCAUUGCUACUUAUUUAUCAAGCAAAUUACAUUAUUAUUUUCACACCAAACCUCCAAAUUCAUCAUGUACUUAUCCUAUAUACUACAUGGUGAACUUUAGAGAGCUAAAACAAGCUCUUCUUGAUUAAAGAUAGAUAAUGUCCUAUUGACCUUUUUACUUUGAUGCCUUGAAAUGAGAAAUUUGGAUGUUUUCUACAUCAAGCUUCUUGAAAUUAUUGUGCUUUCUCGUAGUAAAGAAUUUUCCCAAGUUGUGUACUUUGGCUUUUCCCCCUUUGUCAUCUCCUCCAAGGGUUGCACCCAAACACGGUGUUCGGGAUUGAAAAAGAACGGAAUCAAAAACCUUUCCCUCUCUGAAUUCACCAUCACCCUAUGCUCCACACUCUCAUAAGUAUCGUUGCUCCAUACCUGAUUUAAUAUCAAGAUAAUUAGACAAAUGGGUGUGUAAAAUUCCUUGAGCCAAACUGUACUGAUAAGCAAGUACUAAAGACGAUACAGGCUUUGAGAGUUAAAGGUCGUUCUUUCUAUAAAUCAAGGCAAUAAGUAUAUAUACAACAUACAACAUAGUUGCUGUUACAGGCUUACCAAAUUAAUUCCACAAUAAAGGAAACUAUACAUGGUUGGUUACCAAAACAAAAAUAGGAGAUUAGCUAUACAUAUUACUAAAAUAUAGGAUUUGAUAAAGAUUGAAGUGGACUUUCAAAUGAACCAUUUUCCUUAUCAUGACCCCUCAAGAUAGACUUCGAUUGAAUGCCUAGCUUGACGCACAAGUGUUGUAGAUGAGCUAAGGAUUGUGGCUUUGUUAAGGCAUCAACAAGUUGAUCCGCGAAAGCAAAAUGAGGCACGCGAAAAGUGUAAUCUUGAACUCACAAAAUGAAAAUAAAUAGCAAUAUGCUUCAUCCAAAAUGUAAAAUUAGGUUGGCGCAUAAGUAGGUGGUACCGACAUUAUCACAAUAGAUUGGCAUGGGUUUGGGAACUGAAAUACCCAACUCAAGUAAUAGGGAGUUAAGCCAAAGAAGUUUGGAAGAAGUUGUAGCUACAACAUGAUACUCUACCUCAGUUGAGGAACGGGCAACAAAUGUUGCUUCUUUGAACUCCAAGAAAUGACAUUAUGACCUAAAAACACAACAUGAGCACUAGUUAAAGUACGAUCAUCACGAUCACCAAUCCAAUCUACAUCGGAGAAGGCAUGAAGGCUAAGAGGGGAUCCUUUUCGAAGAAACAAACAAUGAUGCGUUGUACCUUUAAGAUAACGGAGAAGAUGUUUGAGUGCCAACCAGUGAGUGGUAGUAAGUCUAUGCAUGAAUUGAGAGAGUUUAUUGAUUGAGAAAGCAAUGUUUGGUUGAGUGAAGAAGAGGUACCGAAGACCACCAACAAUAGAUCGAUACUUAGUCGAAUUGGUCAAGGAUGUGCCAUCCACAAGGCUAGGUAUCUGAGAUGUUGACAUAGGAGUUGUGAAUGACUUGGAAUCCAUCAUUUUUGUGUGCUCCAAAAGAUCUAAAACAUAUUUGUGUUGAGAAAGAAAGAGACCAAAUGAGCUUGGAAUAACUUCAACCCCUAAAAAAUAAGAGGCAACACCUAAAUCUUUAAUGGAGAACCGAGUAGCAAGUGUGUGAACAAAAUGAUUGAGAGUACCAUCAUCAUUGCUAGUAACAAUAAUAUCAUCAACAUACACAAGUAGGAAAAUGGUAAAUAGAGACUUCUUAUGGAUGGACAAUGAAGUGUCAAAUUUGGGGUAGAAACUGCUUCACAAACCCUUGAUGGAGUAGAAACUGCUUCAGUUCUUGAUACAAGGCACAUGGUGCUUGUUUGAGGCUAUAAAUAGCUUUCUUAAGAUGACACACAUGGCUUGGAAACUAAGGAUCAACAAACCUUGGUGGUUGAGCCAUAAACACAUUUUUGGCAAAAGUCCCAUGAAGAAAAAGCAUUGUUCACAUCAAGUUGACAAAGUGACCAAUUGAAGGAAAAUGCAAGACUAAGAAUGAGUAGACCAGUAGUAGGUUUCACAACCGGGCUGAAUGUCUUAGCAUAGUCAAUACCAGGGAGUUGAUGAAAACCCUUGGCGACAAGAGGAGCCUUGUAUUGAGCAAUAGAGCCAUCAGGAUUGCGUUUGAUUCGGAAAAUCCAUUUGCAACCAACUAGAUUCUGUGACUUAGUAGAAGGAUUCAACUCCCAUGUGCCAUUAUGAAGAAGAGCAUCAAAUUCUUCAAACAUAGCUUAACACCACUCAAGAAGCUUUAAAGUUUGGGUAACAUAGGCAGGUGCAACAUCAGGAGUGGUAGAGACAAAAGCAUACUUGGUGGAUGGUUUGAAGACAUUAUUCUUGGAUCUUGUAACCAUGGGAUGGGUGUUGAGGGUAGGGGGUCGAGUGGGUGGGAUGGGGGAAGGGGUAGGAUGUGGGGUUGAAAGCAAGAUUGGGCUUGGAGGGAAACUAUGUUGGGAUUGUGUAGUCUCAGCAUUGGGGGGUAAUAUAAUUGACUGGCCAGCAAGAGUGGUAUCAUGAAUGGUCGAAUGCUUAACUGGAGUGGUACCUAAGAUUGUAUUGUCCUGUGAUGAGGGAAUUGAUACGAGAGGGAAUGGAAUAGAUGGGACUAUGGUGGGUGGAGGUUUCUCGGCAGUUGAAGAAAAGAGGACCAUUAUCUCAACAAAGGUGACAUGAUGAGAGGUGAAUAACUUGUGGGAAACUCGAUCAAGGCAAAGGUAUGCACUUUGUGUAAGAGAGUAACCUAAGAAGACACAUGGACGAGAUUUGGAUUGAAGUUUGUGGUCAUUAUAUGGGAGUAACUAAGGAUAACAAAGACAACCAAACAUUCAUAAUUUGUCAAGAAUUAGGUUUGUGAUUGAAUAAUUUCUCAUAGGAAGAGAGGAAUGAGAGGUUUGGUUUAAGCAUUCGAUUAAUAAGAUAGACUAUAGCUUAAAAGGCAAAGGGCCAAAAAGAAGUAGGAAUGGAUGCAUGAUGGAAAAGGAUGAGUCUGGUUUUGACAAUGUGUCUAUGAUGACGUUUGGAGUAACCAUUAUGCUUAGGAGUAUGAGGUGGGGUGGUGAGAUGAGUAAUGCUAGCAAGAGCAAAAUAAUCUUUUAACGCUAGAAAUUCACCACUAUUGUCAUAAUAGAUUUGAAUUAUUUUGGAACUGAAGUAGUUUUCAACUAGAGCUUUAAAUCGAACAAAAACAUCAUAGACAUUAGAUUUCUUUUGAAGUGGAUAUAACCAGACAUAUUUGGUGAAGUGAUCGACAAAGAUAACAUAGUAUUUAAAGUUAUCAUUUGAUACAAUGGGAGAACUCCAAACAUUUGAGUAAAUAGUUUGUAAAUGAGAUGAACUUGUAAUAGAUGAUGUAGAGAAAGGUAGUUUAUGACUUUUAUUGCACUUACAAGAAUUACAAGCAAAAGUAGAAAUAUCAUUAGAUGAUAAAGAAUGACUCUUAGAGGAAACUAAAUAUUGAAGAACUUUGGAAGAGGGAUGACCAAGUCGAUGAUGCCAAUUUGGAAGUGAAGUCUUAACAUUGGAAAAUACAAUCAAAGGUUUUUUCGUAGUAGGAGAAUUCAACCAUACAUAAAAACCACCACUAUAGAAUAUAGAAUAUAAUUUUAUAUUUAAUUAAUUUUGCAUUUAAAUAAUAUAUGAUAAAGAUAUUACUUUUAUAUUUAAAUAAUAUAAGAUGGUAAUGAGAUAAAAAUGAAUGUUUUUAUGGUUAUAGGAAUAAAGAAAAAUAAAAUAAAAAAGAUUUCAAUUACUUAAUUAAUAGUAAUCCUAAUUUAAUUUCAAUUAAUAUUAAUCUUAUUUAUAUCUUUCCUUUCUUGAAUAUACCAUAAAAAGAUUUAAGUAGUAAAUAAAUACAUGGGUAGAAGGAUACAUCCAGUCAUGAGGUGUACCUAUAUAUUAAUUUUAUAUUUAAAUAUUAUAGAAUAUAAUUUUAUAUUUAAUUAAUUUUGCAUUUAAAUAAUAUAUGAUAAAGAUAUUAGUUUUAUAUUUAAAUAAUAUAAGAUGGUAAUAAGAUAAAAAUGAAUGUUUUAUGGUUAUAGGAAUAAAGAAAAAUAAAAUAAAAAAGAUUUCAAUUACUAAAUCAAUAGUAAUCCUAAUUUAAUUCCAAUUAAUAUUAAUAUUAUUUAUAUCUUUCCUUUCUUGAAUAUACCAUAAAAAGAUUUAAGUAGUAAUCUGGGAUAGAUAUUAAUUUUAUAUUUAAGAAAUAUAGGAUAUAAUGUAGAGAAUAGAGAUACACAAACAUAUUUUAUAUUUAAGUAGUAAUCUUCAUGAGCUUUACACAAACAAAAAACUUAGAUGUUUACAUCAUCUAGAAGCCCCACUUCGCCUCUCUCUCAGCCCUCAGCCCUCAGGCUUAAGAAGUUGUCAUGAGAAACCUAACACAAACCUUUCUUAUAAUUAUUGUUCAUAGUCGUAGCUACCAAGAAUUCCAAGUUAGGAAGAAAAAAAGAAUCAUAAAUACAGCAAAAAUAACUUCCACUACAUGCGGCAGCAGGGGUACCAAAUUAGGGAAAUUAAGAAGUAAACCAUGCCCAAUCAAUUGCUGGGAAAUAUUAUUUGGAUAUCAAAUUAGGGAAGCUAUUAAGUGUGGUUUUUGUAGUGUUAAAUCAGAGAGAAAUUUAAUUAUAUUAUGAAUUUCAAAUUUAAUUAUUCUAAGAACAAUGAAUUACUCUAAUAGAAUUUAAUGUAUAAAAACAUUUCAAACACUCGCAACAUAUAUCAUUUUCAUUUUUUCCAAAAGCACCAAAACCCUAUAACAAUGAAAAUAAACCCAAUAACAAUGGAAAUAAACCAAAUAACAAUGGAAUCUCAAACCUAAUCACAAACAUUUCCAAAAUACCAACUAACAAAACCCAAAAAAAAAAAAAAAUUCCCAAAACUCACCAAAACCUAGAGAGAUGAUUUUCACGGGAGUUUCUUGGAGGUGGCUUCAGCUUUACCGACCAUAGCUUCCAUGGGGCUUCUUCAGCAUGGCUUCCAUAAGCUUUUUUUGACAAUAGCUUCCUCCAAGCAAUGGGGGUUGUGGGUAGGUUUUGUGGGUUUUAUGGCCGUGGGUUUUGGAGAGGAAGAGAAAAUGGGUUGGCAGGAGAGAGAAAGAAAGGCUUUAUAUUCGAUUAGGAAAGUGAUGUGGCCGUGGGGUAUACCCACAUGGUUAAAAGAAAGACAUUUUUCCAUUAGAAAAAAAUGUCUCAUGGCUUUUUUUAUUGUUAUUGUUAUACCCAAAAAAAAUAAUUUAAUUUUAUUGUUAUACCCUAAAAUUUUUUUAUUGUUAUUGUUAUUGUUCUGUGUUCAGAACUAUUAAUUUAAAAAGUUUUUCAAGUUUUAAAAUUAUCAAAUUUUUAAAAUUUACAAUUAUUUUAAAAUUUUAAAUUUACAAUUAUUUUUAAAAUUUUAAAUUUAAAUUAAUUUUGAAAGUUCAAUGUUUUACUCAAAGUGUUAUUCUAAAAUUUUUAUUAAGUUUUAUCAAGUUUUUUAAGUUUUAAAAUUAUCAAGUUUAAAAUUUAAAAAUUUUAUAUAAAUACAAAGAAUAAUUAAAAAUAAAAUAUAACAUAUAAAUGUUAUUUUUUAAAACAUAUUUAAAAACAUAAAAAAUAUAUAUUAAGAAUAUUUUAGGUUUCUAAAUCAACUUUUAUUUUAAAAUACAUCGGCAAAAAAAUUUUUAAAAAUGUUUUAAAAAACCGUUUUUUGUAUAAUUGUUUAUGAAAAUGUCAAAAUACUUCACAAAUAAACCAGUUCGAGUCCCCUCAGGGCCUCGUGGGAUUAGUCGAGAUGUGCUUAAGCUGGUCCGGACAUCCACGGUUAUAAAUAAAAAAUAAAAAUAAAAAAAUAAAAAAUACUUCACAAAUAAAACUAUAAUUUAUUGGUAUUUUUGUGGGCCUUAGGUGUUAGGAAAUGUUAUAUGUGCAUCCUACUCCUACUCUGUCUUCAUUAUUUUCAGUCCCUUUAUAUCUUAUACCAAUCUACUAUUAUUUUAUCAUAUGGUAUCAGUUUUUCAUAUUUGAUGAUAUUAAUUUCUACCUUAUCCCAUAUGCUUGUAGCUUAAUUUCAUUAUACAUUUGGACAACAGAAUUUCAGACUUCCAUUUGGUACUAAAUAUAAUAAACAUAAACAGAGAAUGAUGCAUUUAAGAAUAUUUUUCCAUGAAUUUUAACUUUAUAAAUUUGUUAAUUUUACAAAUUUAAGAAUUAUAAAAGUUUAGAACUUUUAUUUUUAAUCAUAAACAGAGGAUGUUAUUUUUGUAGUUAUAAAUUGUUUUUGUAUUGCAAAAAUCAUAAAGAUUAAAUAAUAUUUUAUGAUUGAAAAUUAAAUAAAACUAUAAACAAUUUUACUAGUAAUUGUUCAUAGUAAAAUUUAGUUAUCAUGACUAUUGAUACUUUAAAUAUAAUAAGAAUUAUUUAUCAUAUAUAAAAUCAAAAUUGUUUUUUAAUUUGCUAACUCACUUGCAUUUAAACUUUUUAUCAAAUAAUAUCAAAUUGAACCAUCAUAUUUUUAAACUAAUUUAUUAAACUUUAUUUUGCUUCUUAUUAAAACAUUAAUUAUAACAAGGAAAUUAAAUAAUUUUAACUAAAGAAAAAUAGGUAACACACUAAUUUGUUUCUUAACUUAAAAAAAAAUAGUAAUAUAACUUUAAACUUUUUAUAAUUAAUAAGAACUAUUAUUAUUACUAUUAAUGAUAAUUUCUAUUUAUGAUAUAUAUAUAUAUAUAUAUAUAAGAUUUUCUAAAAAAUUAUAAUAGGUAACCCAAAAAUUGUUUAAAAUAAAUAAUAGACUUUGGUCACGAUUGUGUGAACCCCGUGGCCAUAGGUUCAAAAUAUUUAAAAAAAACUCUAUGCAUUGGUAAUGGUCAAGCGAAAUUUGUAACUACAGGUUCUUAUACAGUCACGGUCAAUCAAUGGCGUGACUAAAAGUCACGGUCAAUCAAUCACGUCACUCAAAGUCACAAAAUAUCUAUUUAGUGACGGUUUCACAAAAACCUGUGACUAAAACAUCUUUUUCAUUACACUUUUUGUCACGGAUGAUAAAAUAACCGUGACUAAAGUUAUUGGCGCCAAAAUUUCCCUCCAUAAAUUUACAAAUAGUCACAGUUUUAAAUAAAUCCGUGACUAAAAUACCUCUUAUUAAUCCUUUUGGUGACGGUUGAUAAAAUCACCGUGACUAAACAUGUUUUUUUUUUUUUCCAAAUUUGAUUUAACACAUAUAGUCACAACCUUACCCAAUAAUAUCUUUGGUGGGCCGUGACUAAAGAUUCGUCAUUAAAAAUCUAUUUUUUUGUAGUGCUAGUUGGUCCAUGCAAAAUUCUUGCCCCCGUACAUAGACCAUUCACAUAAAAACAAGUGGGUAAGAAUUCAAUGAAAACAUUAUUUGUUAAGCAAAAUUGGGAAAUUGAAAUCAAGUUCUUUUUCAUGGUGAGAACACAAGGGAUAUUAUUAAGUUGAAGUAGCUUUAAUGCAGUUGGGAGGGUGGUGGAUCCUGUGUGUGUGAUUUCUAGACCUUUACCAUCACCAAUAAUUAUGUCGUCUGGGCCAGCAUAGUCGGAAUGCAAAGAUAGAUUCUGAAGAUCAUUAGAUAUGUGGUGUGAGGCACCAAAAUCCAAGACCCAAUUUGGAGAGACAACAGUUGGUUGAGUUGUCGCAUGUGUUUGUGCAGAAGAGGGGCGGUAACUGUAAUUGGGUGGAACACCAUGAUGUUGACUGGCAAUAUAUCGAAAUGAUGGACAUCUUUUCGCUGAGUGUCCUUGAACACCACACAAUUGACAAGUCCCCUUAUAUGGAUGAGGGGUGUGAUUCGAAGUAUUCGAGGUAGUCAUUGGUUGAGGUUGUUUGGAUGUACGGUAUUGAGACGAAGAGUAAGGCUGUUGAUUGAAGAAUCGAUGCGAUUGUGGUUGUUUGGUAGCAGCAUUGGUGGAAGCAGGCAAUGAGACAUUCCAAGAAGAAUACUUGGCAGAUUCUCAUAAAGUUUGAGCCUCAAGAGGAAGCAAUUUCUCAUAAAGUUCCUCAAAGGAAAAACAGUUUCAUGGGCAUGGAUGGUUGAGUGUAAAUCUUUGUACAUCUCAGGCAAACCAUGAAAUAUUUGAAUAAUGAAGUCCUCAGGGUCUAUGGUGACGUUCAUGAGAUAGAGAACAUCAACGCAAAUUUUAACAAAUUGCAUAUACUGUGUUAUGGACUGAGUGCCUUUGGACAAGUUGUCGAGUUGAGUCCGAUAAUGAAUUAUUCGGCUUCGAGAUGCUUUAGCAUAGGUGUUGUGAAGUGUAGACCAAGCCUCAAGGGAGGUUGUGGCUGAUGCAAUGAAUGAGAAAAUUGUUGGACUAAGUGAUGAAACAAUAGCAUUAAGAAGAUGGUCUUGACGAAUCCAAUGGGUGUAAGCUGGGUUUGGGGUUGUAGUACCCUUUUCAGAAGUAAGAGUGCUAGAAGGACAUGGUAAAGUGCCAUUGACAUAUCCCAGUAAAUCAUAACCGACUAGGAGAGUGUAAAAUUGGAGUCUCCAUGCAGAAAAAUUGUGUUGAGUGAGUUUGAUGGGGGUUUGGGAAGAGGCGUUUAUGGCUAUGAGGUUUUGAGUAGUGUAUAUAGAGAUGUUGGCAGCAGUGUCGAUGGAGGAAACAAUUGAGGGGGAAGGGCUAGAGCCUUCGUUGGUUUAUGGGUUUGGUGAGGCAUGAGAAUCAACUAUGUGAGCUAUGGUUGCUCUGAUACCAUAAAGACGAUACAGGCUUUGAGAGUUAAAGAUUGUUCUUUCUAUAGAUCAAGGCAAGAAGUAUAUAUAUAGUAUACAACCUAGCGUUACAGACUUACCAAAUUAACUCCACAAUAAAGGGAACUAUACAUGGUUGGUUACCAAAACAAAUAUAGGAGAUUAGCUGUACAUAUUACUGAAAUAUAGAGACGAUCACGGAGGAUUUGAUAGAGAUUGAAGUUGACUUUCAAACGAACCAUUUUCCUUAUCAGGUACUAAUUCAAAGUUCUUGGGUGGUACUUGAAUUAUAUCCCCAACAUUGAUGAUAUAUGCAUCUAGGGUGGGCUUAACUCGAAUCCAUUCUCCAUCAGUUUUUUGCUUUACUUCCAACCCUCUGACAUCAUCCUGGGCAAGGAUGGUUAAGGCUUCGGCAUCCUUUUGGCAACGAACACCCAGAGCUAGGUGAGGGAUGGGGCAUGGUGGGUAGUGAUUGAGGCGGAUGAAGGUAGUUGAUUCUUCAAAGAAAAGAUUGAAUCUGUUUUCCGGCAAACCUAAGCUCAGAGAGAUGAGUCCCAACAUCUUGAAAGCUAGUUUUUCCAUUUCUCUAGCAUAUUCUUCACAUACCUCCCUGUAUAAAUUGGUUCAAUUAGAACCAAAAAACCAAGUAAAUCAUUGAAGUGACUCUGCCUUAGCUGGUGGAAUUUGUACCUUAAUUCAGGAGAGUACUGAGGCCACUGAUUGAUCAACUCUUUGAGCUCCUUGUCGUCAGGAUCAGGCGAAGCAGGGAUGAAGGCGGGGGAUGACACCACGAAAUCAAAGACUUCCUUCCAGUCCCUAACGUUCUUGGUAUGCUCAGUAUCAAAAUACCACAAAGGAUUCACCCCAUCUCUACUCACCUUCCUCUUCUCCUACAAUGGCAGAGCGAAGAACUUCCUCGCCGCAUCCUCAAUUUUCCGGCGAGACUCCGAGGGCAUCCCAUGGUUGAUGACUUGAAAGAAGCCUCGAUUCUUGGAUGCAUCAGCUAUUUGAGAAACAUGGUUAGAGGCAUUGGCGGAAGAGAGAUCAAUGAGUGGGAUGCCUUCAGCUUCGAUAACAACGAGCUUAGGCCCAUGUUGGGUGUCUUGGAUGAAGGCUGGAUCGACCUCUCCCAUGGCUGUGGUAGUGAUUAGAACCUAGAAAUGGUGGUUAUGCACUGGUAGCUGCAGGUUGAGAUUGUGAAGGGGACUUGGGCCACUUGGCAGGUGAUUUUUGUAGUGUAGUGGGGUUGGUUUGGUUCAUUGAACCUUGACAUAAUGACAUAAAUGGGAUACGUUUUAUAAGUUCAAGGAAUCAUGGUAUUUGGAAAAUAUGAAUGAGUUGAAAAUUUUAAAAAAUAGGUUUAUAGGAGUAUAUUUUAAGGAAAAUAAUUUUCAAAUCAUAUCAUGUAUAGGAUAGUGACUUUGUACAUGUUUGAGGGGAAUCAUGUCAAAGUGCACUAUUUGAAAAACAUGGCUAAAUUGUAAACUUAAAAAAGUGGUUUCAUGGAGAGUACAUUAUGAGAAAAAUAAUUUCCAAAUCAUGUACUAAAAUAAUAACUGUAUCCAUGCUUCCAAAACUACUAUUCAACAUAUUUUCAUCAUGUCACAUUUUCCUAUGACGUCAUUGCCCUCAUUUCUUAGAAGAAAAACCCUUUCUGUUCUACUUUACUUUACACUGUUUGUUCCUAUAACCCUUUCCUUUUUUUAAUUUUAAUUUUUUUAAAAAAAUAUUUCUCAUCUAUUUUCUCGAUUUUUAAAAUUCUAUUUAAUUAAAAAAAUUAGAAUUUUUUUUAAAGUACAAUUCAUUUAUUUAUUUUUUCAUUUUAUUUAAAUGUGAUGUAUAAUUAAUACAUUAACAUAAAUUAGUUUUUAAUAUAAAAAUAUAUUCAUCUAUAAUAAUUAAAAAUCUAAUAAAUAAAUAAAUAAAUAAAUAUUAGUAUUUUAAAUAAUAUUGAUUUCGUAUAUACAAUAUUUUAUUUUGUUUCAUUAUUAUAGAUCUCAUUUUCUAUAUUUUUUAUUUCUAAUUUUUCUUAUAGAAUUUUAAACCUAGAUUUUUUAAAAAUGAAAUUUAAAAAAACACUAGAAAUUAAAGUUUUUGUUUUCUUCAAAAUAAAAACAAAAAAAAAAUAAUAUACAAAAAAAAAAUAUUAGUUUACCUUUAAUUUCAUUCAACAAAAAAUUAGUAAUGAUAAUUUUUUAAGAGUAUUUAAUUUUAAAAGUAAUAUUUGAAGAUAGGUAAAAUAAAAAUUUUAAAAGUGUUUGUAUUAAAAUUUUGAAUAUAAAUUCACAACUCCCAUCAUAAUACAUUGAUAUUUAAAAUAAAAAAAACCCCUAAUGAUUUUUUUUUAUUAUAUUAAACAUGUAAAAAAAGUACAUUUUUGUUUAAUUAAAAAUUUAAACCAUUAAAAUUGUUUUUUUCUUUAAUAAAUAAUGUUUUUAAAGAGUACAUUAUACCUAUUUUUUUGGGCAUGUUAUUUAAUAAUUGCUACCAAAGUCAUAACAAUGACAAUAAAAAACUAAAUAUAAUAGUGCAUAUUUGCUAUCUAUAGUGGUACUUUUAGUUACUAACAUUAUUAUUUUUAAGUAAAAAUAAUGUUAUUAUUUCCUGACAUAUUUGAUGUAGAGGUUGAAGUGAUGACAGUGCUAAAUAAGUUAGUACAUCCUAUUAUCUACAGUGAUAUUUUUAGUUACUAUUAUUAUUAUUUUUAGGUAAAGACAAUGUUACUAUCUCUAGUGAUACAUUUGAUGUAUGGAUUGGAGUGGUGAUAGAUGAUGUAACAACUGUGUAUAUGGGGUCAAUCAAGUGUAAUUGUCCUCUUAUUUGUAUAGAUCGCAACCCACCUCCGACAGUGGUUGAAAAGUAGUCUUGGAAGCAUAUCACCAAAGGGACAUUUUGAAUAAUAAUUUGGGAAAAAGCGUUCAUCAGACAUAGCCUAAAAAGUAUAUCCCAACAUUGCUGUUUAUUUAUCAAGCAAAUUACAUUAUUAUUGUCACACCAAACCUCCAAAUUCAACAUGUACUUAGCCUAUAUACUGGAUGGUGAACGGGCUAAAACAAGCUCUUACUGAUUACAGAUAGAUACUGUCCUACUGACACUUUUACUCUGAUACCUUGAAAUGAGAAAUUUGGAGGUUUUCCACAUCAAGCUUCUUGAAAUUGCUGCGCCUUCUCGCAGAAAAGAACUUUCCCCAGUUGUAUGCUCUGUAAUUUUGCUUUUCCCCCUUCGUCAGCUCCUCCAAGGGCUUCACCCAAACAUGCUGCCCGGGAUUGAAAGAGAACGGAAUCGAAAACCUUUCCCUCUCUGAAUUCACAGUCACCCUGUGCUCCACACUUUCAUAAGUAUCAUUGCUCCAGGCCUGGUUUAAUAUCAGUAUAAUUAGCCAAAUGGGUGUAACUGAGCCAAACAGUACUGAUAAGCAUGUACUUAUAAUUCGAAGUUCUUGGGUGGUACCUGAAUUAUAUCCCCAACAUUGAUGAUAUAAGCAUCUGGGGUGGGCUUAACUCGAAUCCAUUCUCCAUCGGUUUUUCGCUUUACUUCCAACCCUCCGACAUCAUCCUGAGCAAGGAUGGUUAAGGCUCCGCCAUCCUUGUGGCGACCAACGCCCAGAGCUAGGUGAGGGAUGGGGCAAGGUGGGUAGUGUUUGAGGCGGAUGAAGUUCGUUGAUUCUUCAAAGAAAAGAUUGAAUCUGUUUUCCGGCAAACCUAAACUCAACGAGAUGAGUCCCAAUAGCUUGAAAGCUAAUUUUUCCAUUUCUCUAGCAUACUCUUCACAUACCUCCCUAUAUAAAUCAGUUCAAUUAGAACAAAAAAGAUAAGUAAUUCACUGUAGUUAUUGUGCCUUAGCUGGUGAAAUUUGUACCUUAAUUCAGGAGGGUACUGAGGCCACUGAUUGGUCAGCUCUUUGAGCUCCUUGUCGUCAGGAUCAGGCGAAACAGGGAUCACGGUGGGGGUUGACACCACGAAAUCAAAGACUUCCUUCCAGUCCCUAACGUUCUUGGUAAGCUCCGAAUCAAAAUACCCCAAAGGAUUCACCUCAUCUCUACUCACCUUCCUCUUCUCCUCCAAUGGCAGAGCGAAGAAUUUCCUCGCCGCACCCUCAAUUUUCCGGCGAGACUCCGAGGGCACCCCAUGGUUGAUGACUUGAAAGAAGCCCCAAUUCUUGGAUGCGUCAGCUAUUUGAGAAACAUGGUUGGAAGCAUUGGCGGAAGAGAGAUCAAUGAGGGGGAUGCCUUCAGCUUCGAUAACAGCGAGCUUAGGCCUAUGUUGGGUGUCUUGGAUGAAGGCUGGAUCGACCUCUCCCAUGGCUGUGGUAGUGGUUGGAAGUUAGAAAUGGGGGUUAAGCACUGGUGGCAGCAGGUGUAGAUGGUGACGGGAAAUUGGGCCACACGGCAGGUGGUUUUUGUAGUGUGGUGGGGUUGGUUUAGUACAUUGAACCUGGGCAUAAUUUGGGUUACUUUUUAAGGUUUGGUUGAGGGUGUGACCUCAUGGAUUGCGCAUAUAUUAAUGAUAAUUGGUCAAGUGAUACUGCAGUCCCAAAGGGAAUCUCUCUCAAUGAUUUUGCCGACAGCUCCCUCCACAUUAAAAUGUUUCAUCCGUAUUUGAAUUGGAGUCUAAUGCUCUGAUCAAAGAUACCUUUCGCUUAGUCGAUCAGUGUUUGAUUACUAAAUAAGAUGGUGUCACAAAUAUUUUUGAAUUCUAGGUCAAAGUUAACGAGUGCAAAGGUUAUCAAUUUGAUAAGAUAAAUUGUUUAGAAACACUUUUAAAAAUGAUUCUUGAAAAAAUAUUUUUUUAAGUUUAAAAACCAUUUUUAAAUUUAGAAUAAAGGUUUAUUUAAAAACUUAUAUUAUUAUAAACUUAUUUUUUAUAUUUUUAAAAAAUAAUUUUUAUAUAUAAUAUUUUAUUUUCAAUCAUUUUUUACAUUUUUUUUAAAAAGGUAAAACUACUAAAAAAAAUACUUAAAAUAAGUUAUCAACAAAUGUCUUAUUGUCAUGACAAUUUUCAAAAACAUGUUUUAGAAACAAUUGAAAAUCAAAGUAUUUUCAUAUUCCUUUAUUCCCAAAAACAAAAAAUUAUUCUUGGUAACGGUUCCAAAUGUAUCCUUCAUUUGUUUAUCUUAUUAUAUAAGUUUUAAAAUAAAAUACAAAAAAUAAUUUUCAAUGAUAAUUUGUUACGGUUUUAUCCAAAAUUUUUAUAUUUUUAAUCAAUUAAUUUAUUGAUACGUAUAUUUCUCAUGAGACCUUUUUCUCACUAAAAACAUUACUUUUUUAUAAGACAUUUUUAAUAAAUUAAUUUUGAUACGUAGAUUAAAAAUGUCUUAUAACAAUAUAAAUUAAUUAAAUCAUUAGUUGGCCAUUUGGUCUCAUGCUUACACAACGACUUCUCUCAUGGCUGCCUAACAUGAAUGAACAACUCUCUACAACAAGUAAGGUACACUUAAUUAAAAAAUUAUUUAAUUUAAAGAUGUUCGAGAAUGAGAAUUUCAAGUAGCACUUGAAUGAAUUUAAUGAGACCACAAAUUAAUUAAAUUCGAUGGUUAUUAAAUUUGAUGAUAAGAUUCAAGCCUUAUUAAUCCUCGGUUAAUUGCUUGAGAGUUGGAAAGACACAAUCACCUCAAUCAAUAGUUCAUCCAAAAAAUCAAAAUUGGUGUUUUCGAAUGUAGUAGACAUGAUUAUAACCGAGGAGAUCAAGAAGCAUGAAGAAGGUUUUUCAAAUUCAUGAUCAACAUUAAAUAUGGAGAGCAAAGCUAGAAAUCAUAAUAAAGGUAAUAGGCGUGAUAAAUCCAAAUCGAGGAAUGAUAGGUUGAAAUACAAAAAUUCCAUAAAUUCCUAACAUCAGACGAGUAAGAACAAUAUCAAAUGUUGGAAUUGUGAUUGGAGCUAAAAUAUGUGCUCAAAUGACAUAUAUUUGAUAUGAUUUAUAUAUCAUAAGACACUCAAAUCAUCUGACUCUACCCAAAUUGAUACUAAGGUCCUAGCCAUGAGUUUAACUUGUAUUUUGGAGAUUUAUCUCAGGUUUAAGAAAAGAAAAUGGUGUAAGGUGAAUCAAUUUAGAUUUUGAAAGAAUAAGAAGGGGUUAAAUGAGAAAAUGAACAAGUCAAGACUCAUGAAAUAUGAAGAAAGGAAAGACGAGGAUAUCGUGAGUUUGGGAGAUGAGGAAUGACCAUUAUCAUGAAGUAAGAAAUAAGGCAUACAAACAUAGAAAAUGAGGCAUGAAACAAAAUUCAUCAAGUUUGCAUGGAAAUUUGGGACUCAAAAUCUGGUAAUAACAUAUACUCUGACUUUAAAAUGAAAUUUGGAGCAUUUCCCAAAGUCCAUUUUAGGCAAGCUAUAUAUUGUUUUGAAGCAUGGGAAGUUAGGAAUUCAAAGCUUCAAACAAUGUCCAAAUUAGAGCUAAAUAAGGAAGUUAUGCACAUUUAAAGCAAACUAGUUAGAGAGAAAAACUGAGUUCGAAAUUGGUCACUUGGAUUUGAAAUGGUUUUUGUCCAUUUAAAACUCAAAGAAAUGAAAGAAAACUUUUGGCAUUGGCUAAGUUUGAAUCUCUUUACCUAUUUCAAACAAGAGGCAUACAUUUCAAAGUCAAAUGAACAUACAUGGGCAGUGAGUGAGUUCAAAAUUCACUAUGAAUUUUGAACUCACCUUGUUGAUUUCAAAUUGGACCAUUUAUUUCCCACUUAUGAGUUCAAAAUUGAUUUGAACUCACCCAAAUUUCGAACUCAACCAUUAGUGACCGAUUUUAGGCUCUGAGACAUGUCAAAACGAGUUUCAAAUGCCUUUAUCCAAUUCAAAACGCAUCAUACUCAUUUAGAACUCGUAAUUUUUGGGGUUUUUUUUAAAGGUUAUUUAUGACUUUUCGUUACAAUAAGUGGCCAAUGAGAGUGUACCACAUGUUAGGUCAUUGAAGUUACUAUAAAAACUCUUUUAGUUAUAGUGUUUAGGUGAUCUUCCAAGAGUUAGACAUUUCGUGGGGAAGAAUACGAGAACUUUUGGUUUAUUUAUUUUCUUCUUUAUUGAAUGUAUUGUUUUUAGUUUCCUUUAUUUCAAAUUAUGAAUUUUUACUUUAUUAUGGAUUGUGAAUGUGACAUUACCCCCAUGAGAGGAUAAAAAGCUAACUUGGGGCUUAAACAUAAAAACUAACGGUUAGAAAACUUAUAGGGACAUUAGGUAAAUUAUUAUAACAAUAAGAUUAAUUAAUGGUUGAGUUACAAUUUAUUAAUUUUUUAUCCUAUCAUUGUGAGUUAGUUUAGAGAAUAAUAUAGUAGGUGAUUAUUCGAUACUAGUGAUUCUUGGUAACUCUUGAUCAUUAGUAAUCCUGAUUUUUCUUAUAGUUAUCUGCCCCAAAACGAAGUUAGAAGGAGUAGGAAAUGUUAAAAAGCCAAACCUUAAAUUGAUAAUAAUUUCAUUCAUUUGAUGUGUUGACAAAUCAGAGGGUUGGCUGCAUCCAUCAACUCUCUUUGUGUUCGCCGUGAGCACUUGGGUGAAUGCACUAUAAGGUUAGAGUAUGCACAUUUCUUAACAGCAAUUGCUUUUAGGAGAAUUGGUAGUGCCUGAGGUCCUACAUGAUAGUUUUAAGAACUUGUUUUAAAAAGAAAAAUUAAGUUUUAGAUGUACUUUUGAGUUAUAGGGCUCAAGUUGAUUGCAAGCGGCCAAGAAUCCCAAAACCCUAAGAUCACUCUAGUUAAGAAACCUUUGUUAUCUCUAUUUCUAUACCUUAAGUUAUAUUGUGGAAAACCUCAAACUUAAAUCAAUUAAAUUAAAAAUCAAUAUUCGUUUUGUUAUUAAUUUAGUUUUUUUUUUUUUUUACUUAGUUUCACUUCAUAAAAGUUAAUUCACAUAUUGUUUUUCGCUUUAGGAUUUAAAUAAAAACAAUUCAUUUAUCCUAGUAUUGAAAAAUUCCAUAUGUUAGUCCCUAAGGAUGAUACCCAAAGAAUUACAAAAACCAUAGUGACUAUUUCUCUAGUUUUUUCUUAACCAAAGUUACUAUGUAAAAAGGCUUAGUAUUUUACAUAAGAGAGAAGAUUGAUCAAAUUGUGGAAAGAAGAGACAUUAUAAAAAUGAGUGUAAGGCUGCCAAGAAGGAUAAGGAUGGUGACAACAAGACCAAUGCAAAUGUUGUGUCAAAAGAAUUAGAUGAUGCUCUUAUCUGCUAUUUAGAGAGAACAACAUAAUCGUGGGUAUUAGAUUCAGGGGCAUCGUUCCAUGCUACCUCAAGUGGAGAAUUAUUUGAGAAUUAUGUCUCAGGUAAUCUAGGGAAGAAGUAUCUAGGUGAUGACCAAGCAUGUGUUGUUAUUGGCAUAAGUGAAGUGCAUAUCAAAUAUUUGAAUGGAUUUGUAUGGAAUUUGGACAAUGUGAGGCACAUUUCAAACCUGAGAGAUAAUUUUAUUUCCAUUGGGUAGUUAACAAAAGAUAGUUAUGUGACAACUUUUUUAGGUGACACAUGGAAUAUCUCAAAGGGAGCUAUUUGCCAUGGCAAGAAGAAUGAUACUCUUUACAUGACAAUGAAUGGUUGUGGGUUUAUUACAAUUGUUGAGAGCAAAGAAGAUUCGAAUUUAUGGCAUUAAAGGCUUGGUCACAUGAGCAAUGAGGGGUUGGAAAUUAUACACUCAAAUGGGAAGUUGUCAAGUUUGAAAUAAGUUGACAUUGACAUGUGUGAAAAUUGCAUACUUGGGAAACAAAGAAGGGUUAGCUUUAAGAAAGUUGGAAAAACUCCAAAAGAAGUAAAACUGAAGUUAGUUUAUACAAAUGUUUGGGGACUUGCUUCAAUUUCAUCUAUCGGUAGAAGAUUUUUUUUUGUGACCUUCAUUGAUGAUCAUUUGAGGAAAGUGUGGGUAUACUUUAUGAUACACAAAUGAGAAGUGUUUGAUGUAUUCAAGAGACGGAAAACAAUGGUGGAGAAUAAGACAUGUAUGAGAGUCAAGAAGUUACGGUUUGAUAAUGGUAGGGAGGAUGAAGAAUUUGAGUUCAAGAAGAUCUAUUAUGAAAAUGGAAUUAAAUUAGAGAAGACCGUGCCAAGGACACCUUACCAGAAUGGUAUAGCAUAAUGAAUGAACAAGACAUUGACUGAAAGAGAAAAAAAACGUGUAUACAAGCAAGGUUGUCAAAGGAGUUCUUGGCAAAAGCAAUCAACAAAACAACUUACUUGAUCACAAAAUACUGGAAAAAGUGUGAACUAAAAAAAAGGUAAAGUUUUCUCAUUUGAGGGUAUUUGGUUGUGUAUCAUAUAUAUAUAUAUAUAUGUGUGUGUGUGUGUGUGUGUGUGUGUGUGUGUGUGUGUGUGUGUGUGUAUACAUAUUAGUGAUCAUGACAUAAACAUACUUGAUGCUAAAUCACUAAAAUGUACUUUCUUAGCUAUGGUGUUGAUAAUUUUGGUUAUUAGUUUUGGGAUGACCAGAGUAAGAAAGUGAUUAGAAGUAAGGAUGUCGAUUAGAAGUAAGGAUGUCAUAUUUAAUGAGAAAGUUUUGUAUAUGUAGAGAGAUGCAACACAUUCCAAUAGUCUGGUACAACUUGAACCUAUUUACUUUGAGCCAAAUGAUGUCCCAUUGAAUAACAUGACAAAUAAGACAGGUCAUAAUCAUUAGAUUGAGGAAAAUACUGCAUAAGAUGUUAAUAUAUCACAAGAUCUAGUUUCAAUUCCUACUUUGAGGAGAUCUAACAAGCCACAUGUACCAAAUAGGAAGUAUUUAAAUUAUUUGCUACUAAUAGAUGGAGGUGAACCUAAAUGUUAUGAUGAGGCAUGUCAGAUGGAAGAUAAUAGAAAGUGGGAGCUUACGAUGAAAAAUGAAAUGAAGUCCCUUAUUCUUAACCAGACUUGGAAGCUAGUCGAGUUACCAAUGGGUAAGAAAGUUUUUCAUAAUAAGUGGGUGUAUUAAAUUAAGUAGGAGCAUGGUGGUUCUAAGAGAUAUAAGGCUAGAUUGGUGGUCAAAGGGUUUCAAUAGAAGAAAAAUGAUUGACUAUACAUACAUUUUCUCUCUAGUUGUGAAACUAACUAUUAUUCAAUAUGUUUUGAGUAUUGUAGCAAUAAAGAGUUUACAUAUAGAACGGUUAGAUGUGAAGAUAGCUUUCCUCUAUGGUGAUUUUGAUGGGGAAAUUAGUAUAUAUGCAACAACUAGAGGGUUUUGUAGUGAAGGGUAAAGAGAAUCUGGUGUGCAAAUUAACUAACAGUCUGUAUGAUUUAAAACAAGCCCCAAGACAAUGGUAUAGAAUAUUUGGUAGUUUCAUGCAAAAGAAUAGGCAUCUCAAGUGCAAUGCAGACCAUUGUUGUUACUUUAAGAGAGUUGGUUCUAUCUAUAUUAUUUUGUUACUUUAUGUUGAUGGCAUGUUAGUAGUUGACGCAAAUCUAGAUGAAAUUAACAAGUUGAAGAAAUAGUUGUCUAGUGAAUUUGAAAUGAAGGACUUGGGAGCAACAAAGUAGGUACUUGGGAUGAAGAUUAGCAAAGACAAAUAAACGAGCAUCUUAUGGUUAUCUUAGGCUAAGUAUAUAUACUCAUAAAGUAUUGCAAAUAUUCGACAUGAGUAAUGUAAGGCAAUUAGAACAUCAUUAGCAAAUCAUUUCAGGUUGUCUAAUUAAGCAUUGCCCAUGGGCAGAUGAGGAAAAAGACUUCAUGGCUAAGGUUUCAUAUGCCUUAGCCAUUGGAAGUUUGAUGUAUGUUAUGAUAUGCACGACACUAGACAUUGCCUAUGCAGUGGAAGUUGUGAGCAAAUUUAUGUCAAAUCUAAGUAAGUAGCAUUAUGAAGUAGUGAAAUGGAUGCUUAGGUACUUACAGGGUACUACAAAAAAAUGUCUAUGUUUCGAAAGGGGUGAGUUAAAAUUGCAAGGAUAUGUGGAUGUUGAUUUUGCCAAUGAGAUAGAUAAUUGGAAAAGUACUACAUGGUAUGUGCUCACUUUGGGUACUAUUGCUAUUAGUUUGAUUUCUCAAUUGUAGAAGAUUGUUAUUUUAUCUACAAUUGAAGUAAAAUAUGUGGCUAUCACAGAAGCUAGAAAAGAAAUGAUUUGGCUAUAGAGUUUGUUAGCAAAGUUAGGAUUCAAAUAAGAUAUGAAUGUUUUGCAUAGUAAUGGCCAAAGUGCAAUACAUUUGGCUAAGUAUUCAACAUUUCAUUCAAGAACUAAUUAUAUUACACUUCAUUAUCACUCCAUCAGGUUUUUGCUUGAAGAUAGGGUGUUAACAUUUGUGAAGAUACAAGGUAGCAAGAAUCCGGUUAACAUGUUAACUAAAAUAGUGAUAAUAGAAAAAUUGGAGUUGUGUGCAACUUCAAUUGGUCAAUAAUGAGAAUAGGUUGUUUGAGUGCACCCUCAUACCCAUUAAUCAUUGAAAGAGAAUGUUUACUUGUGUUUUAGUCUUCAAGUGGAAGAUUGUUGGAUUGUGAAGCUUGAAUCAGUUUUAUUAUGCCCCGAUCAACUUGUAGGGAUUGAAGGGCGCAAUGCUCUAUGGAGAAUUUAUUUAUUUAUUUUUAUGUAAUGAUUGACAGGUUUAAUCUUAUUAUAUAUUUUAACCCUUUUAUGUUUUAAGGUUUUGUUUUUUAAUGUGUAGUUGCAAUUGAGAGGUUUUUUGAGAGCUUUGCUAUUCCACUCCUUCUCAUCCCUUUUAUAGUGAAUUGUUGUAUGUUGGUGUACUCCAUUGAUGUAGGGAUCAAAUUGAUCGUAAAACCAUUUUUUUUUUUUUUUUGUUUCUAUUUAUACAUGAGUGUGUGCGUGAUUUGGUUAACAUCAGUUAUCUUAAUAAUUCUAUUCCUGGAAUAGGAAGAAAAUGAUGAUUCCAUUAAUGUAGCAUGCAUUGCUGCUUAUUUAUCAAGCAAAUUACAUUAUUAUUACACCAAACCUCCAAAUUCACCACGUACGUAUCGUAUAUACCGCAUGAUAAGAUUUAGAGAGGUAAAACAAGCGCUUAUUGUUUACGGAUAGAUAAUGUCCCACCGACCUUUUACUCUGAUACCUUGAAAUGAGAAAUUUGGAGGUUUUCCACACCAAGCUUCUUGAGAUUACCGCGCUUUCUCGUAGCGAAGAACUUUCCCCAGUUGUAUGCUCUAUACUUUGGUUUUUCCCCCUUCGUCAGCUCCUCCAAGGGCUGCACCCAAAGAUGGUGCGCGGGAUUGAAAAAGAACGGAAUCGAGAACCUUUCCCUCUCUGAAUUCAGUAUCACUCUGUGCUCCACACUCUCAUAAGUUUCGUUGCUCCAAACCUGGUUUAAUAUCAGUAUAAUUAGCCAAAUAGGUGCAAAAUUCGGUGAGCGAAAUAACUGAUAAGCAGGUGCUUAUAAUUCAAAGUUCUUGGGUGGUACCUGAAUUAUAUCCCCAACAUUGAUGAUUUAAGCAUCUGGGGUGGGCUUCACUCGAACCCAUUCUCCGUCGGUUUUUCGCUUUACUUCCAACCCUCCGACAUCAUCCUGGGCAAGGAUGGUUAAGGCUCCGGCAUCCUUGUGGUGACCAACGCCCAGAGCUAGGUGAGGGACAGGGCAAGGUGGGUAGUGAUUGAAGCGGACGAAGCUCGUUGAUUCUUCAAAGAAAAGAUUGAAUCUGUUUUCUGGCAAACCUAAGCUCAGAGAGAUGAGUCCCAUCAGCUUGAAAGCUAGUUUUUCCGUUUCUCUCGCAUAUUCUUCACAGACCUCCCUGUAUAAAUCAGUUCAAUUAGAACAAAACAAACUAAGUAAUUUACUGUAGUGACUGUGCCUUAGCUGGUGAAAUUUGUACCUUAAUUCAGGAGGGUACUGAGGCCACCGAUUGGUCAGCUCUAUGAGCUCCUUGUCCUCAGGAUCAUCCGAAGCAGGGCCGAAGGCGGGGGUUCUCACCACGAAAUCAAAGACUUCUUUCCAGUCCCUAACGUUCUUGGUAUGCUCAGUAUCAAAGUACCCAAAAGGAUUCACCUCAUCUCUACUCACCUUCCUCUUCUCCUCCACUGGCAGAGCGAAGAACGUCCUCGCGGCAUCCCAAAUUUUCCGGCGAGACUCCAAGGGCACCCCAUGGUUGAUGACUUGAAAAAAGCCCCAGUUCUUGCAUGCAUCAGCUAUUUGAGAAACAUGAUUGGAAGCAUUGGCGGAAGAGAGAUCAAUGAGGGGGAUGCCUUCAGCUUCGAUAACAGCGAGCUUAGGCCUAUGUUGGGCGUCUUGGAUGAAGGCUGGAUUGACCUCUCCCAUGGCUGUGGUAGUGAUUAGAACUUAGAAAUGGCAAUUAUGCUCUGGUAGCUGCAGGUGAAGAUGGUUACAGGACUUGGGCAACUCGGCAGGUGGUUUUUAUAGCAUAAUAGGGGUGUUGGUUUAAUACCUUGAACCUGGACAUAAUAUGGGUUACGUGUUAAGUUUUAGUUCGGGGUGUGAGCUCAUGGGUUGCGCAUAUGUUAAUGAGAUUUGGUCAAGUGAUACCUAGCUAUUUCCACGGCACCCUCAAUAUUCAAAUAUUUCAUCCGUACUCGAUUUGGAAGGUUGAUUAGUAAAUCUGAUGGUGUAAUGUCUAUUUUUGAAUUCAAUGCUAUAUAUUUAACGGUGAAGAUAAGAAAAAUAGAAGAGUUGAUAACGUUGAAGAAAAAAUGCCAAAGUUUUAAGAAGGUAGAGUUUUGAUGAGAAAUAGGUAAAAUUAAAAUUGCAUUAUAAUAAUAUAAAUUAAUUAAAUCGGUAAUCACCCAUUUAAUCUCAUUCUUAUCCACAAUUGUUGAUAGUUGAUCCUACAAAAUUCUAAAAAAAUCUUCCACAAAGACAAAUCACAAGAUGUUCAAUAACAUAUAUGCUUUUGCACCAAAAAUUGUAUAAGGGAAAAAAAAAUGAUGCACAAAAAAAAAAAAAAAAAAAUUCUAUAUCUAAUAUUAUUUCAUAGGAAAACUAACUAUAAUAAAUUUUAAAAGCAAAGAGCGUUUUACCAUAUCUAAAUAAUAGAUUAUUAAAUUCUUUAUUUUUCAAUUGGAUAUUUUUUUUUAAAUUAGAAACAUCUAUAUAAAAAUAAAAAUCACUUUAAAAAAAUUUUAAAUUUAAGAUAAUAAAUUUUUUAUAAUAUUUUAAUUCUUUUAAAUAAUUUUUAAAAUUAUUAUUUUUUCAAUAUAAAAUUUUAAGAGUUUUUGUAUUUUAUAUAUAAGUUACUAAUAUUCUCUUAUUUUAAACAUAGAAAAUAAAAAAUGUAACCAAAUGAAUUAGAAAAUAAAAAAGUUGAAUAAAAAUAGUCUAACCAUCUUAAACCUAAUAAUGUUUGACAGAAAACACUUAAAUAUACCUUGUAAUUUUCCUCACUGGUCAGCUCCUCCGAAGGCUUCACAUUCACAUGGUGCGCCAGUAAGAAGAAGAAUGGAAUCGAAACCCUUUCCUUCUUGUGUCGACCCACACUGAGAGCGAGCUCCAGCCACGAGCACGAUGGAUGGUGAUUGAGUCGGAUGAAGCAUUAGCCUUCAAAGAAUUCAUUCAACCGAUCCCCCACCAAGCCUAAGCUUAAGGAGAUGAGUUCCAAGAACUUGUAAGCUAAUUUUUCUAUUUCUCUAAUAUAGUUUUUCCAAAUUUUCCUGAAAAUAAAUCAUUAUAUAAAAUAUAUCAAUACUCAAAAUAAAUUUAAUAAAAUCUUGUCUUGCCUUUAUGUCUCUAGUUGAGUCUGUUUGGCUUCAAGCUGUGCAUUUAUGUCUCCGGUUGAGUUUGUUAGGCUUUGAGUCGCACCUUUACACCUCUAGUUGAAUAUGUUCGACUUUGAGCCAUGCCUUUACGUUUUGAGUUGAGUCUAUUCGGCUUUGAGCCACGCCUUUACAUUUUAGUUGAAUCUGUUCGAUUUCAAGCCGUGCAUUUACAUCUAUAAUUGAGUCUAUUCAGCUUCAAAUUGCAUCUUCACAUUUUUUGUUGAAUCUGUUCAGCUUCAAGCCACUCCUUUAUGUCUCUAAUUAAAUUUGUUUGGCUUUAAGUUUCACCUUUAUGCCUUUAAUUGAGUUUGUUCGGCUUUUAGUUGCGCUUUUACGUUUUGAGUUGAGACUAUUUGGCAUCGAGUUGCAACUUUAUGUUUCAAGUUGAAUUUGUUUAGCUUCAAAUCGUGCCUUUACAUCUCUAGUUGAGUUUGUUCGACUUCAAGUCAUGCCUUUAAGUCUCUAGUUGAGUUUUUUUAGCUUUGAGCUGCGCCUCUACAUCUCUAGUUGAAUUUGUUUGGCUUCGUAUCACAUCUUAUGUUUCGAAUUGAGUUUAUUCGACUUCGAGUUGUGCCUUUAUGUUUCUAGUUGAGUCUAUUCAGCUUCAAGCUGCACCUUUACUUUUUGAAUUGAGUUUGUUCGGCUAUGAGCAAUGCUUUUACAUUUCAAGUUAAGUCUGUUUGGCUUUGAGUUAAGCCUUUACGUCUCUAGUUAAGUCUAUUCAACUUCGAGCCGCAUCUUUCAUUUUUGAGUUGAGUGUGUUUGGCUUUGAACCACACCUCUAUGUUUCAAAUUAAGUCUAUUCAUCUUCAAGUCGCACUUUUAUGUCUUUAGUUAAGUUUGUUCAGCUUCGAGCAAUGCCUUUAGGUUUGAAGUUGAGCCUAUUUGACUUCAAGCCACACCUUUACAUCUCUAGUAGAGUUUGUUUGGCUUCAAGCUAUGCCUUUUUGUUUCGAGUUUAGUCUGUUCAGUUUUGAGCCAUGCCCUUACGUUUCAAGUUAAGCCUAUCCGGCUUCAAGUCGCGUCUUUACAUUUUGAGUUAAGACUAUUCGACUUCAAGCUAUGUCUUUACAUCUUUAGUUGAGUUUGUUCAACUUCAAGCUACGCCUUUACGUUUUGAGUUAAGUCUAUUCGGUUUCAAGUUGUGUCUUUAUGUUUUGAGUUGAGUCUGUUUGGCUUUAAGUCACACUUUUACGUUUUGAGUUGAGUCUCUUCAACUUUGAACUACACCUUUAUAUAUCCAGUUGAGUCUGUUCGAAUUUGAGUCACACCUUUGAGUUUUGAGUUUAGUCUGUUCGGCUUUGAGCCACACUUUUACAUCUCUUGUUGAGUCAUAUUUAGCUUCAUUCUACGCCUUUACAUUUCCAAUUGAGUUUAUUUAGCUUUGAGUUGUGCCUAUGUUUUAAAGUUUGUUCAAUUUCGAGCCACAUCUUUAGCCUUAUUAAGUUUGUUCAAGUUUAGUUGUGCCCUCACCCAUAUCCUUAGUUUUAAGUUUAUUCAGCUUCAAGCCAUGCGUUUGUCCUUGUUAAGUAAGUUCGGCUUCGAGCCACGUCUUAGUUUUGAAGUUGUUUAUCCUUGAGCCACACCUUCCUUUCUUUUUUAGUUCACUUAGGGUUUUCUCCUUCCUCGAGUUUAUUAGUGCAUUCGAGUUCAUUUUUCUUUAAGUUGAUCACUCUUUAUCUUUGUUGUCCUUGAAUUGUUCAUUGUGUCACAAUUCAGUGUUUUUCAUUGCAUAUAUACUCCCCACAUUGUCUAUAUUUUAUCCUGAUGAGUUUCUUUCCCAAUACGUGACCUCGAUCUUUGAGUUUAGCAUGCCAUGUGCUAAGACAAUUUCGAGUGCUCUUUUGUUCUUCAAUGCAAUUCACUUCAUACCAUUCAUCACUCAUGUUUCACUGUUUGUGUUCAUUUCAUUCGUGAUCUACAUCGGAGAGAGACAUAUUUGUUGGCCCUUUACUUUGUCCUAUAAUACAUAUUUUCACAUUUUUUUAUUUUCCUCUUGCCCCAUACUCAUUUUUGGUGCUCGUUUUGGAUCCUUCUUGUUUGAUCAUUCAUGGUCCCUUAUUGGUCCACGUUUACUUGACUCAUUAUUCAUUUUUUAGUCGCAUUUUAGAGGCCAUGUAGGAGGAAUUUUGAGUACAUGCAAGCUUAUUUUUUAGAGACCCUUAGUAGUUGGCUCAUAUGAGGACACGCCUCCUCACACUACUACAAAAAUCAUUUAUGGUGUCACUAUUUAUAGUGACACUUUUAAAAUAAUGACACCAUAUAGCUUAAAAUCCACAAAGGUGACACAUCAUAUAAAAAUUUUCAAUUAGGAUCAAUGAUAUUAAUUUUAGGUUUAUAAUGUCAGUUGCCAAAAAAUGACACCAUAUAAAAUAUUUUUUUUCUAAAUAUUAUAACUCAAUUGGCCCACUUUGAGAAUAAUGAUAGUAUAUAAAAAAAUCAUUGUUUCCACAUACCCACAAUCCAAAAAAAUUUCAUUCCAUAACCCUAACCAAAAUUUUUUUCUACCUCUUCUCACACCCAUAGUUAACACACAACUGUUCUUCUCUGCUUUGUGGACUCUCAGGUAACCCAAAAUCUCUUAGAUCUAUCAUUUUCAUUUAUUUUUUUAUUAAUGUCAAAAUCUUUAUGAACACAAUUGAUUUAUGUUUAUUGAUUUAAUAUAUUUGUAAUAUGGAUUGUGUAAAUAGUGUUUUUUUAUUGAGUUGUAGGAAAGUAAAAACUAGGUUUAACAUUCCACCAUAUCUUCUGGUUCAUUGUUAAACCCAUAAACCCCAAAAUGAAUGAAAAUAAGAAAAAUGAAUUAUUUUUAAAUAUCUUUUAUACUCAAGAUAAUAUAUAAACAUUUUACAAUACAAAAUUUUUUUUUGAUCUUGUAGGAAAUUUCCUUUGAUAGGAUUUUCUGUUUGUUUUCAAGGAAUAUUGUAGUAUAUUGUGAUGAAGAUAUUGAUUGGUGUUAUUUGAAAAAUAAUUUUUUAGAAAAUUAUUCUCAAUAUUAUCAUCUCCCACAAAAUGAAAAAUGAAAUAGUUUUCAUAUCAUAUUGGAGUCGGUUUGGAAUGUUGGAAUUAACAAUGAGAAAUUAAUUUUAUUUUUUAUUUAUUAAUGUAAAUGAAUUGUUUUUUUUUUAAAUUUAAAUAGGAAUGAAAAUUUUUAUAAUUAUAAAAAUGAUCAAAUAUUAUAUUUUGAUUUUUUUUUCUAUUCUUUUACAUGGUAUUAUGGUUAAUAUCUCAUCUUGUUCUAUAUAUAUUUUUUAUAUUCUUAAAAUAUGUUUUUUGCUUUUUGUUUUUACUUUCUUUUCUUAUUGUUUUUAUAUGUGUUGACCAAAAUUUAGAGUAAUUUGAGAUUGGCGAUAAAAUUUUCCUUUCAAGGUUAGAAAAUUUCUAUAAAAUCAUUUUAUUACAUAAUUUUUUCAAUUCCUUCCAUAAAACUCUUCCUUUUUCCUUUUUUAAGAAGAUGUUUGAUAAUUUUCUUUUGAUUUCUAUGAAAUUUCCUUUUAUUGGACUGUUUGUUUAUUUUCUAAGAAUAUUAUAGUAUGUUAUGAUGAGGAUAUUGGUUGGUGAUAUUUGAAAAUUAAUUUUUGAGAAAAUUAUUCUCAAUAUUGUCAUCUGCCACAAAAGGAUUUUAAAAGUAUGUUUUAUUUUUGCCUUCUUUUCUUAUUGUUUUUAUAUGCAUUGACCAAACUUUGGAGUAAUUUGAGAUUGAUGAUGAAAUUUUCCUUUCAAGGCUAGGAAAUUUCUAUAAAAUCCUUUUAUUACAAUUUUUUUUUUUUUCCUAUUCCUUCCAUAAAACUCUUCCUUUUCUUCAUUUUUCUUUUUUGAUGUUUGAUAAUUUAUUGAUCUAAAGAAUAUUAAAAGUAAAAAAUUUAAAAUAUUGAAUAUUUUUUCCUUUGAUGUUGUUAUUUUAUUAUUAUUUUUAUUUGAACAUAUUUUUCAUAUCCAAAUUUUCUAUUAAUUAUUUUACUUUUAAAAAAAAUAUCAAUUGAAGUUAUGACUGAAAAAUCAAUAAUUUUUAUGAAAGGUUCUUUAAUUCUUUCUCAUACUAAUUUUUCUCUUAACAUUUCUUAAUAGUGAAUUAGGUUUUUUUGUUUUAUAUACACAAUUUUCAUGCUUGUUAUAAUAUCAUGUCCUAUCAUAUUAGUAGUUGAAAACAUUUUUAUAUUUUGUUACUAAAAUUUUAUUUUAUAUAAUUUACAUGAAUUUUAAUGGACAUUGUUAUUUCACAAAAUGAACAUUAAAAAAAAUAUUGAAAUUAAGAAAAUCCUUCCAAGAAAUAAAAAAAUAUAAAAAGAAUUGGAUGUUAAAAAUGAUUUUUAAAAGCAUUAUGAAUUAUAAAAAAUAAAUUUAAAAGAUUAGUAUUUUCUAAAAUUUUAGAUUUAUAUUUUGAUUUUGUAGUUUUGAUUUAUUUCAUAUUUUCUUGAAUUGUUUUUAUUUGAGUUCAAAUGUGACUACUUUGUUAUGAGAUUCAUUAAAAGGAUAAUUGUUGAUUCUACAGUUAUUGCAUUAAAGGUUUUACUCAUUUAAUGAAUUGUACAUAGUUUCAUACUUCUAAUUAUUGUGAUAUUAAUGUUAUUUUCAUUUGAUUUUAGUUUGAUGACAAAAAACAUAUUCUCAAGUAGACUUUGAUGAAAUAAGAGGAGAAUGGAUUGCUUUUGUGUUAUAACUAAUCAUGAAUCAUGUUGAUGUAUCGUGAUCAUGCAUGGUGAGUCCCUUAGUUGUUAUAUAAAUUUUCCAUUGGUAUUGUAUAACAUUACUUAUUCUUUAUGAACUAUUUUUAUAUCAAAAUAGGAAAAAGAAAAAAGGAAACAUUAGUACUUAGAUUUGUUUAUUUUUUUAUAACAUCACUAUGGACCCCGCAUUUUCGGCUCGAUGCGUUUCCCACUCGAUGGCGAGCUCGAUUUUUAAUUUUGAAAAAUGAUUUUUAUUCAUUAAAAAUGACUUGGAGUCGCCACUUAUUUUUGUUUUAUUUUUAAAGGGUAAACAAAAUAAGAAAAAAAAACCCUAAGUGUGACUCCUUAUUUUAGAAAAGGCGAUCUACGAAAAAACCGGAUUGGGCUCGGGGGUUAGGUUACUUAUCGGGAAGGUACGGUAAAGACCGUAGCACCCCUCUAAGUCCCUAAAAUCGGGUCUUUACUAAUAGAAUGAAGCUGACGUGGCAGUCAACAAGAAAAUCGAUGAAUAGUCAAAUCAAUCAUGCACAAUAUGAGAAGCAAAACAUGUAUAAAGAAUGAGCGAAAUAUGAAUAGAUGCGUACCUGGACGGCAAUCACGAACGCGCUAUCAUGAAACAUGGUUAGUGAACAAUGAACAGAUAUAAUUAAGCGCAUAUCAAGGAAUAGAGUAAAUCAAUCAUGCAUAGCAAAUAAAUAAAUCAAUUAGUUAAUCGAUUAUAAAUCACAUAUGUGGGGCCCCACCAAAGUCCAUUUAUUUUGCAUGAUUUAAUUCCAAUAACUCCAUUACUUGGAAUUACGGAAAUGAAUUCUUGCUUAUUUUAAAACGUUUUAAAACGAAGGAGAUGUGGAAAUUAUUUGCUAGAAGGAAAGAUGACAACAAAAUUUUAUUGGAAAUGAGAUUUUUGAGUGAUCCUAAAAAUUCUAAAGAUGAAAAUUUGAAAAAUAAAUAAAUAAAUAAGAAUAAAAUAAAAUUAUUUGAAAAUCUAGAAAUUGGAAACUAUUUGAAAACGGGAAAUUUGGAAAUUAAUUUAAAAUUGAAGAUAAAGAAAUAAAUAGAUAAAUAAAAAAAUAAAUAAAGGACACGUGACUCAAAAUGUGGUCAUGCAUAGUUGCUUGUAAAUUGGACAGCCAGUUGCUUCUCAUACUCUCAGCGUCAAGAUGUUCCUUGAUGUAGUUGCCCCAUGUGUCAUCCUUAGCCGUGAUAAUGCAUGUGUUUUCAUCCCAAUUAAAGUCACUUUGAUCAAGAAGUGCCUUGAUAGUGACAUAUUGCAUCCUCAAGACAUCAUACCGAUUCCUCAGUUGGUCCUUAUCCAUGGAUUCCCGCGAAAUAAAUCUGUUACCAGAACAUUGUAACCAUUGCAUGCAACGCGAUAUGCGGAGUCCCUUGUGGAUGAAUUUUCGAAGCCAAAGGCAUCAAACAAGAGCAGUAUCCCUGCCAACUGCGUGUUCAUCCAGCCGCUCAAUCACGCCACUAACAUGGGCACAGCGGAAAGCAUCAACACAACCUUAAUUCCUCUCUUGUAGCUGUUUAGCAGAUCCAAGUCUGUACAAGACUUGAUCUAUGGCAACGUCAUGAGGAUAUAGCCGCGGGGUAGCAUAUGAAUCCAAUCAAUGGGAAAUGGGCAUUAGGAAUGGUGGUCAGGCUUUGCAUGAUUUCAUACACGUGAAUGAGUGAUGCUGGGACCUUCAUGGAGGCUUUGAGUGGAUCUUUGGGCGGCGGUGUAGAAAGAGAAAGGUAGCAGGAAGAAAAGAAUGGGUGUGGGCUUGGUGGUAUGAAACGUGUGGUGUUAAAGAGGAAUGUGGCGUACAUGAGGAAAGACAUGGUGAGUGGAAUGAGCUAUGGGCAUGAGAGAAAUAGAGAAAAUGGGUAUGAAGGUUAAUGAGAGAGAACGGGCGUGUGAGGGUGGUAAAGGAAAAUGGAUGAUGGAUGCACAUAGGUGGAAAUGGGAAUGGAUUUGAUAAAGCAUGAAGGUAGGAAUGGGAUUCGGGUGAUAUUAGAUUACCAUGCAUGGAGAAUGUAUACGUGGAGGUCUAUUAUGCAAAGGAACUAAAAACGGGUCAAGUGAAGGGCUGUUUAGGGAAUAUGGCAUCAGUUUCAGGUUGAGGGGAUGGGGCCCUUGGGCCAUUUGGCUACCCACAAGUAUGAUCUACAAAAUAGGGUCCUUAUGUCAGGGUCAACUUUCGGAUUUUUGCAAAGCUGAUGCUACCAAUUUAAACUCUGAUCAAUCAGUGUCCGCGAUCUUGAGUCCUUCAAGCUGAUGCAACGCGUCUUUAGGAAGGUAGAGCCUCCAAUGAAUACUUUAGAUUUCGAUUUUUGAACAAUCAUGGCAGAACCCUUCAUCGAUUGGCAUUAUCAUUACCCUGGGAUUGCAGCAAGAUGCAUGGAAGGCUUCUUCACUAUUAUCACAAAUGAGCAUAUACAAUAUAUUUUCUGAAUGACCACACGAUUUACAUGGUUGGGAUGAGUUGCUAUUCCCACUAACUCCCAGAACUUCAAGAAGCUCCUGACUCCUCAGUAUAGAAAUGCGUGUAAUCAUUACCCUCUUGUUUGGCAUGACCUGUGCAUACCCAAGAAUGACACCUACUAACCAACCAAUUGAUCCUUAUUGCAUUUAGAACUCAUCUGCAUCCCCUAGUCAAUUUCAGUUUCUGACAGUUAAACCAAAAAUCCCCAGUCUCAGCAAUGACAGUAGUCUCACUUGACAACAUUUUCUGUAUAUGCUGGAACAGAACAUAAACCCUCAAAGGCUCCUCGGGAUCAGACGUAGGAGACUGUCCCUCAGGAACGUAAACUCUAUGGUAGAACUCAUAGGCAGUGAUAUUGCAUUCGAGCCUCUUGGAGAAUGACUUGAAGAAAUCUUUCAUCAAAAUGCACCCAAGCUCAAGCCCAUAAGCACACCAAACACCAUUAUUGGGUUCGUUACAUCACCAUGCUACGGAGUUUAUACAACAGGAAGCUCUAACUGAUGAUGGUUCUGGUAGUGAUUUGCCAAUGGGAACUUGGCCAUCAAGUGAACCCGAUAUCAGAAGCUGAAGUUAUUACCUUGUACUCUUCUAUUCCCCCAUUAUCAGCAAUUCCAAUGGAAACAGUAGGAGAGCCUCAAGACUGUGUAUCCAUUCAAUAACUCUGUUUCUCAGUCAGGAUGCAAAAAACUCCCCAAUGAUUCUACAGCUGCAACCACAGGAGCCCCACUACUACCAGUUCCUUCACCCAUUCUGACAGCAACCAAAACCAGACCAAUGACUUGAACUUUAGACUUCCCCAAUCCAUUAAAUCCAGAAACCACUUGGAGUUAGAAACAUUUUCUACCUCAUCCUAGAACUUUCAGGUAUUUUACAAAGUAAUGGUCGGUAUUUUUCAAAAGCAAAAAGAAAAAAAGGUAAGACUCAAGAAACAGAGCAAACUCAGAAUUCGUUAAUCAAGACUCCAUCUCAUGCUGCACUCAAUGGAUCUAAACAGGUGAGACAAGCAGGGAGCAGUGGCAUGAUUAAUCAAUCUCAAAAAUAAUCCAUAUAUCGGUUAUUGACAGGAAAAAACAAAGAAAGCAGAAAAGAACCCAAACAGAGCAAAUACAAAAACAAACUCAAAUUCAGCAAAUCAAUCCACAAUCAAGAAAAACUAACAAUGCUCAAGUAGCCUGAGAAAAAUGAUGAAGAACAGUGAUAAUGAAAAAUACCCUAAAAAAAAGAACACGAUACUUCAUACCUGUGAAACUCCUCUCCGAUGAAGCUCACCUACCAAACCAAUCUGCUCCCAUCCUUGGCACUAGAACCCCUCUCCGUAGCAGCCUAAGCUCAAGGAAAUCCCUCUCCAGACCGAUCUCUUCUUUCUUCUCAAGUUCUUUUCUCCUCCUCUCAAAAUAUCUCUCCCUGAAAAACGGCAGCCAAAACCUCCCUCUGCAGCUGGCCUGCCCCCGUAACAGAAUACCCCCCUCUAGCUUUCUCACUACCCUCAAAAGCACCCUCUCUCUCCUGCAGCUGCAAGCCUCCACUACCCCCAUGCAGCUGGCAGCCUCUACUCCUCUAACGGCCAGCAGAUUCUCCUUCUAGAAAAUUCUUUCCCUUUUCCAGGUGUCUUUCCCUGAUUGGCCCAUCAAUUCCACUAUAGUGAUUCUACAGUGACCAAUCCUAAGAAGGCACGUGGCCUUAUGAGAUUGCGACACUUGGCAAACACAGGCUGCCAAAAAGUGAGCCCCCAAAUGGGGGUCUACAAUCACAUUUUUAUUUUCAAUAAGAACUCUAAAACUCAUUAAACUAUAAAAUGCAGAUAUACACUCUUGAGAGGACAAUAUGAAGAAUAAAAAGAAAUAAGAAAGAAGCAACAAGAUUUGGAUUUUUAGAUGUGACUCUUAUGUCAUACAUUAUACGACAUAAAUGUUAUUUUAUUUGGAAUUGAGAAUUGUGGGUUUUUUUAUGCAACUCUUGUGUCAUUUGGUUAGCCGGUUUUAUGCAUAUGAAACGUAAGUAUACAUGAAUGUUGGGAUGCUUAACAUUUCUAAAUCAUGUUUUAAUGUGUAUUCACUUUUCUUUUUUAGUUUUGGUGGGUUUGAUAUACUAUGUUUUGUGAACAUUUGAUAUACAAAUAUUAGUGGAUGAUGUAAUGUAUUAUAGGUUAAUCCAUAAGCAUAAAGAAAAUAUAAGUUAAAUGUAAUAUGAUUAUUAUAUUUAUGGACAAAAUUUACACACGUUGAUCUUAUUUAUUAAUAAGCAUUACAAAAAUCUAUAGGCUAGUCAACAAAAAACAACCAUAUCUUCUAUAAUCAUUUACAAUGAAGUGACACCAUAAUUCAAAGGUGAUGCAUUUAACGUGACAUCAUAACUCAAAGGUGAUGCAUUUAAUAUGACACCUUAUAUAUCUCACAUAACUCUAUAUCAAAUUAAGCAUCACUAAAAAUAUAUGGUGUCGCUUCUAAAUGCGUCACAAUUUAUCUGUUUUGGUGUCGCUUCCAAAUACGUCACCAAUUGGUACCCUCUAUGGUAUUGGUGGAUAAGGUGACGCUAUGUUGUAGCGACACCCUAUGUUUAGGGUGACUCGUUAUAAAUGUCACCAUAUAUGUUUUUCCUUGUAGUGUCAUUGGGAAGGUUUUUUCCAUUUUUUAGAGGGGUUUUCUAAAGGCUUCUAGGGUGAGGACACUGUUCUCAUAUUGGCUUUUUUUCCCCCUUUUUAGAGGGGUCUUCUAAAGGCUUCUAAGGUCAACUAGGAGAGCAUGUUGAUUGAUGCUUUGAUAUGGAUACCAGAUGCCACAUUUCAUCUUGUUGAACACUGGUUAGCUAUGGACUUGUUACUGCUUUACUCUUCUGUUUCGAGUUAACUUUGGAAAUGAAUCUGAAUAUAGACUAGUAUUUGCAUCUUGAUGUUUAGAGAAUCAUAUUUUAGUUGUUGUUUAAAAUUCAUUUUGGCAUGUUCGAUUGCUUCAAGCUCAUUUAUACAAUAAUGAAAUGGAGAUUUAUAUAUUUGUUAUUGGGUUGGCUCUCUGUUUGGUUAUCUUUAAGUUCUGCAUCUUUUCUUUUCUCGUUGCCUUAUCUUCUCUGGGGGGUGUCGUUUGAGAAAUACAUAGUGGAAAAAAUGGGAAGCUGAAGGCUUAUCCUGGCAUCGACCUCGCGUUAGGGAACGACUUGAUCGAAGAACAUAUGAAUUUUUCAAAUACCCAGAACUCACAUCAAAAGAAGCAUCGGAGUCAAGGUCAAACACAUCAUCUGACAAGGAAUAUACCUUUGCCUUUGGUGACUUUAUUGACUUCUGCAUGAUGGACAUCCGAGGGUGGGGACUGGAAGAGAAAUGAUGAAUUUGCCCAAGAUAGUUUGUCUAGAAAGGAACUUGUAUUAAAUGAUGAUUACCCACUAUGUCAGAUGUUGAAAUUUGGGUAUGACAACUCCUGGUGGCAUCAGAAAGAUGAGUUGCACAAUCCUUCUCACAGUUGAAAGCUUGACCUCCGAAGUUGGGCUUUUUCAUGGCCAGACAAGAACAGUGAUCACAAUAGUAUGAGCCAAGCCUGUCACGACCCAAAUUCUAGGUGAACUUAACCAUGACUCCAAAUCAAAGGUUUAAACUUAAAGGUUACAUCUAUUCAAUCUAGUAGUCAAUCCUGAUAACUUGAUUUUUUUUUCUUGAUAAAACAAUAUCUAAUCCCAAAUCAAUUUAUUAAGCUAAUAACUUGAUUUUUUUUCUCAAUAAAACAACAUCUAGUCCCAAAUUAAUUUAUUAAGCUAAGAUUUACUAUAUCAUAUUAUUUGAUUUUAUUUUUCAAAAAUCAACCAUUACACUAUCACUUAUUUGCAAGUAUAAUAAAUCUGUCAAACAUCUUAUCACCCAAAAUGAUAACCCAAAUAUUUACAAAAAAAAGUUUUACAAAUUAAUAAAAUAUAGUCUAAGUUAUAAAAGUUCUUAUAAAUUAAAUUAGUAUGUGCUAAAAUAUAAGAUAACUGAAAAAAAAAAAAAAAAAAAAAAAACCAUUAUUAUUAUGGUUCCUUAAAAACUAUAUUUGCAUCUAAAAAUUUUAGAAAAUAAAGGGAUGGACAUUUCCACAUUACUUAGUAAGGUAUUUUACACCCACACAAAUUAGAAAUUCUAAGUCAAUAAAACACAAUCAUAUAUCAAAGUGUAAUUUUACAUCUAAUGUACUACAACUAUAUACAUUUAAACUAAUCAAAAUUAUCACUAACCAUAAUCAGACUCCAAAUAAUACAAAUAACAUUUAUUAUCUCCCAAAAACAUAAUGUGUAAUUUUGUUUCCAAAGAAAAAUAUAAAAUAAAAGUUUUAGGGUUAAACCACCCUACAUCAAAUUUGAAAAUCUAAUUGUUAAAACUAAAAUCAGACUCCGUAAAAAUGUUCUUUAUGUUAAAUAGAGUGUUUUGCUAAAAUCUCAUGCAAAACAGAAUUCAUUUGGCUUGUCGGAUGACAACCCAAAUAUUUGUUGCACCUUCCUUGUUUCUUCUCUUCCUUUGUGUUUCCGUUUGCACUCUUCUCUCUACGGAUCUGGUAAAUAGGGUAGCCCCUGGUACGCUUGGGGCUGGAUUGAAUCCUAUUCGAACUAUAUCUAACUUGAUCUUGUCCAAGCUAGGAAGGUUUUUGGUCUCGAUGACAUUGGAAGUUUCAUCAUUGCUAAAGAAAGGGGCGGCCAAAAAGGCUUAGCGACGACCCUCUCUCGACUUAAAGGAAACGACUUGUCCCAUCCAAUGCCCUACUUUUAAGUGCUCGGUAUGUUCACUUAAUCAAAUCUAGAAGAAGCUUGGCCUCUGUAGAGCAUGAAAAGGCUAGUUUUGAAGCUUUUAAUCGAGGACUUAUUUGCCCUAAAGCCUGACUUCUUAGGAAGAGAAAUGGGCUUGACUUCUUCAUCAACCUCGGAAUCGCAUUCUAUCACACUGGUGGUACUUCUUGUUGAAUUAAAAGAUUGGAUGAGUCUUUUUGUACCCACCCGCCACCCCUGUUUGAGAGUGAUUAAAUAUCAUAACUUCCUUAAUGGACCUACGGACUAGCUAAGGUUUACUUACAUAGUUGUUCUUUCUUUUCUCAAUUUCAAGUUAAAGUUAGCGUUUUUCAGCUUACUGUUUGCUUUGGUUGAGUAGCCGCCUUAUGACCCUUUGCUUUUGAAUGAAAUCAUCUAGAACCUCUCAGAUCGGAUUCCAAUCACCUUAGUGAGUCUCCUAGGUGCGAAGCCAUUCUUUAAGCCCAAAACAAAAGGAGAAGUGAAGUCACUAUCUAGACAAAGGGGCUUGCCUACUUAUAAGGUAGGAGUUCACACCGGGGAAUCGCUUUCUUAAUUAAUUAAAAGCGAGCCAAACUCACCACCUCAUGUACCAAAGUCAAACGGUUGUUCUUCCUUCCCCGCUCCCUUUUUCUCUACAUAUGUGAUGGCGGGCAGAGCGCUCUAUAUGACCGGUGGUGGGUUACCAGAGAAGAUGGGACAACUUCUUUCUCUCUUGCCUUGCUCAAUCUUCCUUUUCUGAUUGAAAGUAGCAAGCCACACCACUACUGGUACAGAGGUCGGAUAGAAGGUUGCUUUUUCUAUAUGUUCAGGCGAAGAACAUCUACGGCACAGUCUUCGCCAAGCAAGAUGAUGUAACUCCUCAAAACAUAAAAAGAGCUCUUAUAUAUGUAAAAACAUGAUAUAUGUGUAAAUGAAUUAUAGCCAUUUUCAAAUAGAUCAGGAUCGUCAGAUGUUUGAAAUGGAAAGUCAAUUUUUCUAUAUGCAUGUAGAUAUCUAUAGGGGAUUAUAUGAAGGGGAUGUUAUUAUUUUAGAUAUAAUCAAUUCCCUUCUCGGAGCCCACUAAGAUCCGGAUCUCCUACGGAAAUGAUUUAGAAGAUCCAAAACCAAAAAUAGUGGUAUUUGCUAGCAACAACAUAAUGGAGGCAGUCAAUCAAUAUAUAUUGAUCUAAAAUCUGAUUCAAAUCCAAUAUAGCACCUAUGGGUACAUAAAAGAAAGGCAAGAGAGAAAAGAAGUCCAUACUUUUCAACAAAGCUUUAAGUGAGUAGGGGUGUAGCAGAUUCAUGCACGUCGAAUAUAAAUGCAGUUGGAUGAGUAGUCGCGGAUUCACAAUGCCGGUUAAAAAGCCAAUCUUAGGGUUGCAUUCACUCCCCUUCUAUAUCUUGCAUCUAUAGUAUUUUUGUCCUGGUGGAUCUCUUUAUCAUUUAAUAAAAGUUUGGAAUCUUGGGUUACUAAUUGGUGGAAUACUAGGCAAUCUAAAACUUUUUUGAAUGAUAUUCAAGAAAACAAUCAAUUUCCCAUCAUUUGCACUAUGAAUGGAAAUGAAAUUCUAGAUCUAGAAUCAGAUGAAUGUGCAACAGUCAAUUUCCUCCCUCACAACCUAAUUGUCCACUAAAAACAACCUUUUUUACUAUACGCUAUUUGGCCGCUAGAAGAACUUCAGUUCUUAUAGGUAAAUGCUCAAUACCCAAGUAGGCCUACAAAGUUGAUCAUGAUCAAGUGCUUUUUGGGUCGUCUUAGACCUUGCAAUAUCUCUCCGGCCCUCUAGCACUCUGUUAUGGCUCAAUCACUUACUCUAGUUCUGGAGUUCUAGGUCCUCUAGCUAUUAGUGCAGGUAGCUCUCCUUCUGGUAAUGCAUUAUAGGUUGUCUUCCUUCCACCUUCCUGUUUUCAAGAAAGCUUAUUUUCUUUCUAAGAAAAAUCAUACAAUCUCGUAUGAGAACGGGAUUGAUGGGAGGCAUAUGCUCCCAGGCUACACAAUGUCUUACAGGGCUUACCCAGUUAGAAGGUAUGUAACUAAAGUCUCAAGAGAAUUGAAAUCGACGAGAAAUCAGAAUCAAUGUUAGAGAUUAGACUUGGCAUGGAAAAAGGAGUAUAGUAAGAUGAUAGAGACCUCGCACGAGAUGCUUACUCGGAUUCAUGCCCAUAAAGAGUAGAAGAUUCAACACAAGUGCAAGAAUAGGUUUCACAGUUAAGAAAGGUUGAGAUUCAGGUGAGUGAGUGAGUCCUCACUGACUUGAGCGAUUUCGAUCACCUAGCAGUUUAUUUGGUAGGUAACAUCGCUAAAGCAUAUCAUCUGAUCUACAAAUGAAGGAAAUCAAAGUGAGACGACACCGUCCUCUGUAACGCAACGAUAGUUGGCCCUUUAUCAUCAACUAUUUGGUAGACUUGGUAAAAGAUGUAAGGCUUUAGCUAGUACACGAAAGUGCAUACCAUGAUUCUUCUGUCUAUCAAUAACUGCAUGCAUUGCACGAUGGAUGUGAAGAAGUAGGCCAUUAUCUCGACAAUAAUGAGCCAAGCUAGUAUUUGCAGUGAAUCCCCCUGUUAAGUAGUCACAUUAAUGGAACAAGAACACAUUAGCGUAUGAAACAGAGCUGAAAGCGCGAGUGCACAAUCUCAAAAACGGCAAAUUCACGUUCUACUUCCUCAAUCUCGAACUCUGUCUAUUGGGAUGAGCUCCCCUUACCUGCGCUAUUCUAUGAACGAACUUCCUUUAUAAACCAUAAAACUGGAACAAUCACUGUUCCAGGGUCUGUCUCAGAGUUCUAUCUCGUGCUUGACAUCAAUUGCAUCCAAACCUUUAAUCGGGUAUACUUUCCACAAUAACAAGCGAGUCAUAGUUAGGUAAAAGUUAUACAGAAAGAUGACAUCGUUGGCGAACUUGAAGCUAGUUAGGUAAAUCCCCUUAUAUUCUUCUUUCUUCUCCCAUAAGACAUUCCUUAUUAUUAUUAUUAUUAUUAUUUUCAUUUUCUCAAUUUCUUUAUCUUUUCAACUUUAAGACACCAUUUUGCACUUCUUCUUUUUUAUUAUAAUUAUUAUUCUUUAUCAACCAUACCAUGUUAAGAAAUUUAUUUAUUUUAAUCCAAAAAUCUACUUAAAUACAAUUUCAUACUUUUCUUAAUAAAUUAUAUAUAUAUAUAUAUAUAUAUAUAUAUAUAUAUAUAUAUAUAUAUAUAUAUAUAUAUAUAUAUAUUAUUUCUUAUUAUAACAAAUUUAAAAUGUCACAUGUAUCAUUUUUUUAAUAAAUCAAAUUAUUAUUCUUUAUUUCAUAUUCUACAAUUAUAAAUUAUACUCAAUAUAUGAUUUAUUGUCUUACGAAAAAUAUACUGCUAUAUUCUUAAUUAAAUUUAUUACAAGUCUACUUUUCAAAAAAAAAUUAAUUUGACUUUAAUUACUUGAAACAUUUUUAUUAUGAAAUUCAUUUAGAACAUGAUUUCAUUAAUUAUAUAUUUAAAAAAAAUCAAUUUUAGAAAAAAAUCUGAAACAUAAAAUAAUUCUUCAACAUCAAGAAGCUGAAAUUCAUAAUAAUAUUUAAUCCUUUAAUUUUACCAAUAUUUAUUUACCAAUAAAAUUUAAGCAAUAUUCUGAAAUUUAAUUCCAUUAGUUAUUUAGUCAUUCAAUUUAUAAAAUCAUAUUCUCAACCUUUGGUAUAACUUUUAUUUAAUUUACUUCAUUUGUCAAAUUUCUCAAUUGAAUCAAAAUUUCAAAAGUUAAAUUCACUAAAUUCAUAUUUAAUUAAUUUAGCCUUUUAUAUUCCCUAAAUUAAUAUAUCAUAAUUUACUCUUAAUGUAAUUUCAAUUCAAUUUUAUUUGAUGUUUUGUAAUUCUAUAAGGUUUAAUUCUAAUUAUAAAAAUUAUUGAUUUCUUAUAAAAUUAAAUUCAAUUUCUUUUUAAUUAUCCAUUAUAACAAUUUGAUAUAAUCUAAAUUUUUAUCAAGUUUUUCUUACUACAAUUCUCUAUAAUUAAAUUAAUGGUCAUAAUAUACUUAAUAUUCAAUUUUAGAGACUAUAAUAUCAAUAAUUAUUUGAUGGUUGAAUUUUUUUCCAAAUUUAAAUUUAAUUUUUGAAAUUCCUACUCUUUGCAUAUGACGUGAUGGAAUUUUUAUACUAUUGACUUUUUAUUAACUUUUUCAAAAAAUUUCUUAAUUAAAUAUUAACACGGGGAUUUUCGUCAUUCUUUUUUAACAUUUGACUAAUGAUUUUAUGAUAACUUUAAUCUGACAUGUCAUUAAAAAUCCGGUUGUUAUAGAGCCAGUCAAAUUAAGCCUGUUAUCCGAGGAGUGAAGCCACUGCCUUGUUCUAUCUCCGAUGGCCUGCUCAGCUCCUUCAACCCCCAUCGCUCUCCUCUUUCCAAGUUCUCCAUUUUCAGUUUAGAGCCAACAAGGAUCGCAGAAAUCCUUAAAGAUUGACCUACAUGGUAUCGUGAGUACCGCGAUGUGGAUGUUCUUAAUGUGUUGUCUACUAGAGCCAAAUGGGUGUUUGAUAAGACCCAGUGAAGGUGUAAAAAUUAUAUGACGAAGCUUGCAGAAAGACUUUGAGUUGAGGGAAGGCAUCUCAACGAAGUUGGGCUUUUGUAUUGUGAAUCUGGCAAAUUACCUAUACUGCAUGGAUCAUCACUCUUUUAACGUGGAGGUACACAGGUCCUUUGCAAUGUGACACUUGGGGCACCACAUCAAGCUGGUGAUGCUCAACGACUGGCUUCUCUGGACGGGUCCUCCAACAAAGCGCUUCAUGCUUCACUGAAAUUUCCCGGAGUUCUCAAUUAAUGAAGUUGGCCAACUCCUUAACCUGCACUGUUCCGCAGCAGUCACAUAAAGAUUUGACAUUGAAAUUGAUCAGGUUUUUCCUCUGCCAAUGGUGGUGGGCGCGCUUUGUAUGUAGAUUCCGAAGGAACUUCCAACUUGAUGGCUGUGAGUGGUAAGGUUGGAGAAGAUACUACUGGGUCUGCCCCAUUAGUUUUCCAUUGUUAAGGUAGUUUGGUGCACAGCUUCCUGGAUCAUCUACACCACGAGCACCUCCAGCCGCCUGUUUUGAUCAGUUUCUGGAUUUCCAUCUCCAAAUUGUGCAAGCAGUGACUGAUAUGGUGUCCAUACAAGCGGCUACUGAAAUGGUUCAAACCCCAAAUGCUGAAGGGAAAGGAGCUUUUGGAAAAUAUCAUGAAGAAGACUCACCCAUCUUACAUGAAAUUAUACACAACUCCAUGGACCAGAACCGGAACCCAGACUUAAAUUUGUCCAAGAGAAGAUCAGUGUAAUACAAGUCAACUGCAGUCAUUCCUGAAAGAAGUGAUGAGAAGAGUAAACCUGGAAAAGCAGUGAGUGAAACAAGUUUUGUGACAUUGAACAAUUUGCAGAUGGGUGUUCCCACAAGCUCCUCUCCCCUCUUCCUACGUGCAUGAAAUUCCUACGUGCAUGGCCACCUUCUUAGGUGUGCAAUUCUGCGCAUAAUUCUCAAGCGUACUAUCACCCUCUUCUUUUUUGAAAAAUUGAUUUUAAAUUUAAAAUUUUGACAAAUUCAUUUCCCUUUUAAAAUCCCUCAGUAAUUCUCUUCAAAUUAAUAAAAUCUAUUUUCAAAAAAAAUUUGCUGCCAUUUUCCUUUUGGCAUAGACCUUUUUCUAUUUUCUUUGAUUUUUAAUCAUUUUCCAAUUUUUUAAUAAAUAUGAAUAAAUUCUAUGUUUUUAAAAAUAAUGGAAUUUUGUCCAAAUUUCUAUUAUCUUUUUCUCCAUGAUCAUUAGAAAGAUGAAAUUCCUAAAAUUAAUUCAUGCAAAUAAAUUGGACAUUGGUAGGCCCAACAUAUGAAUUUUUCUCCUUUGAUUAUUGUUUUUAAUUGCUACACUUGAUUGACUAAUGAUUGAUCUCUGUCUUGCUCUAGCAUACAUGAGAUUAUUUUGUGCUUGUUAUUGUACACUAACCAUGUUUCUCACGAAGCGCUCAACUUAUUCUCAAGUACGUUCUUUCCUUUUCCUAUUCGUUUAGUUAUAACCAAUGUUUUCAAAAUCGGACCGAUCAUUGAAUUGGAAAAGUUACUGGUUCACGGUUCACUGGUCGAAUCGGCGGUCAAAUCACGGUCAAACUAGUGAUGUCAUAAAUAUAUAAUUUAUAAAUUAUUAAAAUUUAAAAUAAUUAUAAAAAUAAAAAUAAUAAUUUAUAUAUUAUUUAAAAAUUAAAAUUUUAUUUAAAAAUUAGAAAAUUAGUUUCAAAUUAGAAAUUAAAAUUAAAAUCAUAAUUUUAAUUUUAAUUUUCAAAUUUUCAAAUUCAUUUUUAAAUAAAAAAAAACUUAUUUUAAAAUCAUGAAUUUAUUUAAAAUUAUAAUAUUUUCAUUAAUUUAAAUUAAAAUCAUAAGUUUUAAACAUCAUGAAAUAAAAAAUAAUAAAUAUAAAAGAAAAUAAAUUAUACUGAAAUGAGGUAAAAAAUAAUUUAAAAAAAUGGAAAAAGAGAGGAGAGGAACAAGCAAAAAAGGGUUCCAACAGGGUUUUGGGGGGUGGGGUUUCCAUUUCUAGCGCCAGGUGGGGGCCCUUCCGGUGGGCCAAAAGGGGAAAAGCUUUUUGGCUUUUCCAGUGCAAGGGGUGCCGAUGGGGUGGGGGGUUCCAAUGGGCAAGAAGAGCUCUUCCAGCGCACGCGGGUAGGAGUGGCGACAAUGGGGAAAAAAAAAAAGUUGAACCGGAUGGUUCCAUCCGAACCGUCCGGUUAGUCGGCCGAACCACCGAUUUAACUAGUCCGACCACUUUCCAGCCCAAUUGACCAAACCAGAUUGAAACCGUGACCAGCCGAUCCAAUCCAAUUUUUAAAGCCAUAAUUAUAGCUCAACCAUAACACAUCAUUGAUCAUUACUUGGUAUUUGUUGACUUUUUGAUCAAUUGUCAUUCUUAUAUUAACUUGAUUAUUAGAGACCUAAUUUUAGGGUAUAAAGGGGUAUUACGAUUUAUCAUCCUACCUUCUCAACAAGUAACCUGACCCUUGAACCCAGACUUGGUUUUUCAUAAACCCGUAUUUUCCUUUCAAGUUUCAUACUUAGAAUUUUUUUUUUUCCAUUUAAAAAUAAAAUAAAGAUACGUGGCCUAAAACCAUUUUCAUCAAUCCAAAGUGAGUCUUGUCUUUUUUUUUUUCAAGUAAGGACACGAUCACAGGUCUACAAUACUAUUUUAAUAUAUAUAAUGAAAUAUAGAUAUUAACGCCAUCUUAAAGAUAUAAUUAAAUUUUUUGUUUAAAAUAAAUUAUAAUAAUUUAAAAAUAAUAUUUUAUUUAAAAUAAAUUUUAGAAUAAGCAAAGUUGAUAUGUGGACAUAGAGAAUCGUGAACCAUUGUAAAUGUAUUGAUUAUAUCUCUUUCUUCCCAUUUCAUUUUUACUUUAGUUUUUAUUAUUCGUAUCUUUUUCUACUAAAAUUUGAAAAAGAAAUUCACAUUCACUUCUUCUUGGGUGUAUAUCAUAGGAUUCAAAAUGUUUUUAAAAAUUAUUAAAUUUGUUAAUUGUGACUAUAUGCUUAUUUAGGAUCCAUUGAUCUUAAUAACUUUCUUCCCGAUAUAGGAAGAAAAUGACUAUUCCAUUAAUGCAGCAUGCAUUGCUGCUUAUUUAUCAAGCAAAUUACAUUAUUAUUUUCACACCAAACCUCCAAAUUCUCCAUGCAUAUACGCAUCCUAUACUGCAUGGCCAACUUCAGAGAGCUAAAACAAGCUCUUAUUGAAUACAUGAUAGAUAAUGUCCCACUGACCCUUUUACUCUGAUACCCUGAAAUGAGAAAUUUGGAGGUUUUCCACAUCAAGCUUCUUGAAAUUACUGCGCCUUCUCGUAACAAAGAACUUUCCCCAGUUGUAUGCUCUAUACUUUGGCUUUUCCCCCUUCGUCAGCUCCUCCAAGGGCUUCACCCAAACAUGGUGCCCGGGACUCAAAACGAACGGAAUCGAGAACCUUUCCCUCUCUGAAUUCACCAUCACCCUGUGCUCCACACUUUCAUAAGUAUCGUUGCUCCAGACCUGGUUUAAUAUCAGUAGAAUUAACCAAAUGAGUGAAAAAUUCCUUGAGCCAAACACUACUGAUAAGCAUGUACUUGUAAUUCAAAGUUCUUGGGUGGUACCUGAACUAUAUCCCCAACAUUGAUGAUAUAAGCAUCUGGGGUGGGCUUAACUCGAACCCAUUCUCCAUCAGUUUUUCGCUUUACUUCCAACCCUCCAACAUCAUCCUGAGCAAGGAAAGUUAAGGCUCCGGAAUCCUUGUGGCGACCAAUGCCCAGAGCUAGGUGAGGAAUGGAGCAAGGUGGGUAGUGAUUGAGGCGGAUGAAGUUUGUUGAUUCUUCAAAGAGAAGAUUGAAUCUGUUCUCUGGCAAACCUAAGCUCAGAGAGAGGAGUCCCAACAGAUUGACAGCUAGUUUUUCCAUUUCUCUAGCAUAUUCUUCACAUACCUCCCUGUAUAAAUCAGCUCAAUUAGAACAAAAAAACUUAAGUAAUUCACUGUAGUGACUGUGCCUUAGCUGGUGGAAUUUGUACCUUAAUUCAGGAGGGUACUGAGGCCACUGAUUGAUCAGCUUUUCGAGCUCCUUGUCGUCAGGAUUAGGCGAAGCAGGGAUGAAGGCGGGGGAUGACGCCACGAUAUCAAAGACUUCCUUCCAGUCCCUAACGUUCUUGGUAUGCUCAGUAUCGAAAUACCCAAAAGGAUUCACCUCAUCUCUACUCACCUUCCUCUUCUCCUCCAAUGGCAGAGCGAAGAACUUCCUCGCCGCAUCCUCAAUUUUACGACGAGACUCGGAGGGCACCCCAUGGUUGAUGACUUGAAAGAAGCCCCAGUUCUUGCACGCAUCAGCUAUUUGAGAAACAUGGUUGGAAGCAUUGGCGGAAGAGAGAUCAAUGAGGGGGAUGCCUUCAGCUUCGAUAACAGCGAGCUUAGGCCUAUGUUGGGUGUCUUGGAUGAAAGCUGGAUCGACCUCUCCCAUGGCUGUGGUAGUGGUUAGAACUUAGAACUUAGAAAUGGCGGUUAUGCACUGCUGGUGUUAGCUGCACGUGAAGAUGGUGAGGGGGACUUGGCCACUUAGCAGGUGGUUUUUGUAGUGUAGUGGGGUUGGUUUAGUACAUUGAACCUGGACAUAAUUGGGGUUACGUUUUAAGUUUUGGUUGGGGGUGUGGGCUCAUGGGUUGCGCAAAUGUCAAUGAUAAUUGGUCAAGUGAUACCAAGUUAUUUCCAAAAUCUGCAGCCGCAAAGGGUAUCUCUCUCGAUGAUUUUGGCAACGUACAGCACUCUCCACAUUCAAAUGUUUGAUCAAAGAUACGUUUUGUUUAGUGUCGUGUAUAUUUUCGAAUUAAUUACUUCAUAUUUAGGGAUACGUUUUGUUGAGUAUCGUGUAUAUUUUCGAAUUAAAAACUUCAUAUUUAGGGAAAAGUGUGCUUCAAUACGCUAAUAUAAAAAUAUCAGCAAAAUAAGAUCCUAAUUUUUCAUAUUUUAAGGUUUAUAAUGCAAUUGGAAAUUAUUUGGAGAAUUAUGCAUUUUCAGCUCAUGUGUAUUUCAAAUCCAAAAUGCUCUCCACCUUGCCAGCCAAGUCUUACACGUUGAAAGUAAAGAGAGAAAAAAUCUUCAAAAAGCCACCAAAACCAAUUUCUCUUUCUUUUUGAGUUAUUUGAUUCAAAAGAUCAAUAAAAUCCAAUUUUUAAAAUUUAACCCUUUGUUCUUUUUUUUUUCAUUUUGAUAAAAAUAUCUUUACCAUUUUCUUGUAGAAAUAACAUUUUUUUUAAACCUAUAUGUAAAUACUUGAAAUGGUAAGAGACGUGUACAUUAAAAAAAAGUUAUUUUUCAAGUAAAAAUAUAGAAAGGAUUAUUUCAUCCCUUUUAACCAAAUAUUUAACAUGAUCAAGGACUAUUCCCUAAAUGAAGGCAUACGGUAGCAAAUACCCUUAAUCUAAACAUUAAAAGUACAACUUAUCUAGUAUCAAACACUCUGUUUUAAAACCCAUAGCCACUCCAAAUAUCCCAAAUAUUCUUUUCUAUGCAACCUCUCUCUCUCUCUUUCUCGCACAAACACACUAAAAUAUUUUCUCAAACUUGGAUUUUUCUCCACAACUCAACCCUAACUUCCUUUCUAUUUGUACCAAGGCUAGAGAAUAUAGUUUAUACUUGUAUUCCUUCAUGUACCAAGCCCACAAGAUGAUCAAUAAGUUUCUCUCUAGAUUUUACAUUGGAGUUGAUUGAUGAUAGUACCCUUAUUAGGUAGUAUAUUAUCUUCCUUAGGUACUGCUUUUUCCAUCCUUAGAUACUACCUUUGUAACCUUGGGUGCAUGAUUGAAUCCAUUGUUUCAUGGCUACUUCAAGUAAGUCAGGAACUUAUGUACAUGUGUGCUACAUGUCUUAUAGAUACUAAAUUUACAUUCUUUAGGUACUACCUUUACCUUCCAUGGGUACAAAUACGGUUAAUGAUAAGAAUUUUAAUAUAAAAAAGGGAAAAACCCUGCUUGAUAAUAAAAUUGCAUAUAUUUUCUUUCUUUCUUUCCUUUUUGAUUGAUUUUUUUUUUUUUUGGUCUUUGCUUUGGUUUUUAUUUAUGUCUUUGUUUCUUUUAGUCUUUGUGUGUGUGUGUUUUAUUUUAUCUUAUUUUCAUCUCUAUGCAGAAGAUGUAGAAGAAACAACAUCACAUCAUAAGGUGCAUUUUUCCGUUCAUUUAAGACUAAAGGUUUUGGAUUCACAAAAUGGUGGGAACUAAGGGUGAGAAGCUGGAAAAAUGUUGGAUUGAGCUACAUUUGAUCAAUGGUGAAUUUGCAAAAAAGAUUGUAGGAGAGUGUAGACCCUCAAUUUUGUCCCUUUAGCACAUGUUUUAAAGUCCAUUACCAAUACUUUACAGUAAUCUCUUGGUAGCCCAUAGCUACUCACGCUACUUACCUUUCUUGAGCCACCUCGGAGACUCUAGUUGAGGGAUUGCCUAACCCCUUAUUGUGACCCUUGGCAGUUUUGAUUUAGACUUAAGGUUUUCAUUCCUUCUUAGGAUAGCUCUUAGGUGCACUUUUAGGUCCACUUAGGCAUCACCCUUGGCUAAUUUAGACAUUUUGGGCCCGUUUAGACACCUUAAACUCGCCUAGAUUCACCUUAGACCCGCUUAAGCACUUCAUUGGGGCUCAACAUUUUUAUAUAAUCUCUUGAUCAUUAUUGCAUGCAUUUGAUGAUUAUAUUUUCUUUGUUUAUUCAUUUAUUUGUUUGUUUAUUUAUUCAUCCAUUUAUUUAUUCAUUUUUUAAUUUCUAUUACGUCUUGUUUUUUUUUUUCUUUCUUUCUUUCAUUUAUUUACCUACUUAAUAGAGAAUUGUUUAGAUAUUAAAUAUGCAUACAACCCCCUUAUUGAAUGAUGGAAUUGUACAAUCUGAUAUCUCAUUUUCUCUUUCAUUUUCUUUUAAUCGUAUUUCACUUUAUUACCAAUUUCAUGACUUUCAUUAGUUGCUUCUCUUUUCCUUUGAUUUUUUAAUCUUAUCUUAUUUUGUUUUGCAUAAGGAGCACCAUCUUGGGGAGUACAAGAGGAUCUACAUUACUGGUUUGAUCAACAUAUGUUUGAGACUAAAAGCCUUCAAGAUGGCAAAAGAUGGUCAUCACAGCCCCAUGCUUCUUCUUCCCAUCUCUCAUAAUUGAAGCCUCUGUACAAAACUUCAUCAUAUCCUGAACAAUAGCAGCCACAGCAGUUGCAGCCACAGCAGCUGCAGCCACAGCAACUGCAGCCACAACAGCUGCAGCCACAGCAGCUGCAGCGACAGCGGCAACCACAGUUAAUGCUGCAACAGCAGCCACAGCAGCAUAGACUGCAUCAUCCAGUUCAACCUUCAUUUGGUCAUUUAUCAGGGUUGCAGCCCCAACUAUUUAAUCCCCAUCUUUCCCCAGCUCCACUCAUCAUGAACAAAUAUGAAGCAAUGCUUGGGAUAGGUAAUCUGAGGGAUCAAAGACCCAAGUCAAUGCAAAAAGGUAGACCAAAUCAUCGGGUUUCUCAACAGGGCUUGGAUACUAGCAGUCGGAAGAGUGAUGUUGGUGGCCACAGUUCAGAUCCAAGUAUAUGACAGCUGAUGAAAUCGAAAGUAUCCUUAGAAUGCAACGUUGCGGAACAGAUGGAUGAGUAGAAAGGAAAAUAGCAUGAAAAUAGAAAGGAAGUGACCACUUUGUGCACAACACGCAUAUAGUGGGCUGUAAGGGGGAUUCUUUUUUGUUUAGAAAGAAAAGUCAACUUGUAUCACUUACUAAACGAGAUGUGGCUGCAUCCUUGAGGGAAUCUCCCAAUGAGCCACCAUGUAUGCACUUUCCUUAUCCAUGUGCAUUGAAAAAGGAUAUAGAAUAUUCAAUAGAGGAAAGGUGCUGCCAUAUAGAAGGAAGGUGCUGCCAUAUAAACAUGUCACAGAGAGAACACACGGUGGACUUUUCUUUUGGGAGCAGAAAUUCACAUACAAAAAGUAAUCUUUUUUAGAGGAGAUGAACACACGCAAGAGUUUUUUUUUGGGAGCGGUAGAGGACCUGAACGACUAAUUGGGCUGCCAUUUUGACACAUCAAGAAAGUAUUUUUCCAAUACAAUACAGGUUAGUUUUCGAUUUUUGAUACCGUAUUUCCUUUUUUUUUUAGUUUGGGUUUUAGUUGUUUGGUUUAAUUAAUUGUUUGUGAUAAAUUCUUUUAAAUCUCGAUUUCGAACAAUCUUUUAUUUUUCUUAUAUUAAAUGUCUAUCUUUUAUGAUUGCAAUUCAUUAGUUCUAUGCUAGUUUAUUUUUAAUUUACAUGAAAGUUUAAAUAAAGUUUAUAUUUUUAAUUCCAAUUAGUUUAUUUUUAAAUUUGAAUGAGUUAUCGAUCUUAAUUAUUUAGUUUAAUUGACCUUGUGAGAUAAAAUUUAUAUUUUUAAUUCUAAUUAGUUUAAUUUUAGUUUAUUUUUAAUUUGAAUGAGUUAUCGAUCUUAAUUCUUUAGUUUAAUCGACCUUGUGAGAUAAAAUUUAUAUUUUUAAUUCCAAUUAGUUUAAUUUUAGUUUAUUUUUAAUUUGAAUGAGUUAUCGAUUUUAAUUCUUUGGUUUAAUUGUCCUUGUGAGAUAAAAUUUAUAUUUUUAAUUCCAAUUAGUUUAAUUUUAGUUUAUUUUUAAUUUGAAUGAGUUAUUGAUCUUAAAUCUAUUAGUUUAAUUGGACUUGUAAGGUAAAGUUUAUAUUUUUAAUUCCGAUUAGUUUAAUUUUAGUUUAUUUUUAAUUUGAAUGAGUUAUUGAUCUUAAAUCUAUUAGUUUAAUUGGACUUGUAAGGUAAAAUUUAUAUUUUUAAUUCUAAUUAGUUUAAUUUUAGUUUAUUUUUAAUUCGAAUGAGUCAUUGAUCUUAAUCUAUUAGUUUAAUUGGUCUUGUAAGGUAAAGUUUAUAUUUUUAAUUCCGAUUAGUUUAAAUUCUAGUUUAUUUUUAAUUUGAAUGUGUUAUCGAUCUUAAUUCUUUAGUUUAAUCGAUCUUGUGAGGUAAAGUUUACAUUUUUAAUUCCAAUUAGUCUAAUUCUAGUUAUUCAUGUGUUUCUUGAAAUCUAAAUGUUAGUUUUUGAAUGAUAAUUUUGUUAGUUUGUUUGAUUAGGAAGUCAUAAAUUUGUUGUCUUAGUGAUUGUUGGUCAAUUUUUUUUUAGGACCACUGGAAACCCAUGAAGGUUGGCCUUUACUCUCACCACUUUAAUUGAUAAGAUUUUCUAAAAUCUUUAUUUCGUGAUCUUUGUUUCCUUUUGUUUUGAUUGAUAUUUUGUUUUCUAUUUUUGUUAUUUUAAAAAUUAAUUUCUUUUAUUUUAAAACAAAACUCUUUUUCUCAAAAAAACCCUUUUUAAAAUUUUUUUUUUAUUAUUCAUUUAAAGCCUCUAGAAUCAAAAUCUAUUUUCUUUUUUAAAAAAUAACAUGCAACCAUAUCUUAAUCAGUUUGCAUCCUUCUCAAUUUUCAACAAAAAUAUCCUUCUCAAUUUUCAACAAAAAUUUUGGUUUUAAACAAAACGCGAAUCAAAGCUUGUGGUCCCAAAUAAAUGGAACAAUUUUAGGCUAAAUUCAUGUAUAUUAAUUUGGGGAAUUGGUGAAACCCCUACAUAAGAAAAUCUUUUCAAAAUUUACUUUUGCUACCACCCUACUAUUUAUCAUAAUCAUAUUUACUUUUUUUCUUUUUAGGAAUUGUAUACAAGAUAUGUAUGAUAAUUAAUUAUUCCGAGUUCUGAUAAUUUUUGCUAAUUAAUUAGAUAAGCAUGCUAGGAUUUAUUAUUUAUUAUCUAUUAUCUAUUAUCUAACCCUCAUGUUCUGAGGAAGUGCAUUAGGAGUUAUAUAUGCUAUCCAGGUACGUUCCCAAAAUCUCAUGAAUAUGCAUGUCAUUACCCUUGUUUGAUGCCAUACUUGAUUGCCUCGAUGCUUGUUUGAUCAUCCUUGAUAAAAUGCAUGUCGUGUGUCAUAUUUCUGAAUUAACCAUUGAUGUUUAAUGAUAGUGCUUAAGAAGUGGUUCAGGUACGCACCCUAACUCUCCUUUAUUGUGAUUGAUCUCCUUAUUUAGCAUGCUACUUUCUGAAAAUCACCUAGCUUACUUAAGUAUCCAUAAUUAAUCAAUUAAUUGCCUCAUUUCCCCAAUUUAGUCAGUAAAGACCUCUUUAGGGCUUAGAAGGGUGCUACCUCCUAGAGGUACCUUCCCAAUAAGUAACCUGAUCCCCGGACCUAGACUCGGGUUUUUCAAAGACAUGUUUUUUUCAAAAAUUAUGGAGUCACAUUUUAGGGUUUUUCUUUCUUGUUUUAUUUUCCCUUUAAAAUAAAAAUAAAAUAAGUGGCGGCUCCAACUUUUCCAAAACUAAAUAAUUUUUCACAAAUAAAAAAAGAGUCUCGCCAAUCGAGUGGGGACGCAUGUGAAAAAUGCAGGUCCACAGAGAGGUUUCUUGAGGUGGACAAGGUCAGAAGCAAAGAGCCUUUCCCUACUUUUUGGGGUUGGUUCCUUGAGUUCUUAGGAAGAACUUAGUUAACGUGUGAAUUCAUUCAGGGUAAUUUAUGUAAGAUUUUCUAGAUUUUGCAAGUGAAUGCACCUUAGCUUUUCCUAUUGUAUUUGUGUUUUUUUAGGUUGAUUAUUUUAUUGAUUGUCACCACUCAAGGAAUGGAAGCAAUAGGGUCUCUAGAUGUAGUGCCUAAAGGCAAGCAUACAGGCGUUGUUAGGAGUGUGCUUCCCAUGUCCAACAAGCAUAUUGACACCACCCAAAGCCAAGGCAUCUUUGGACUAGGAGUUCUAGCUUCUACUUAUGUGGACUUUGUAGAUGCAGUCUGGCUCUUCGAAAUAUUUAUUGUUAUGUAGUAGUUAUACACAUGUACUUUGUUUAAGUGAAUUGAUUUUUGGAUUUUUACUUAAAUCAAAUUUAAGGGUAUGUUGUUUAAUUUACUAGAGAUCUCUUGUUUGUAAUUCUCGUUAUCAUAUAUAGAUCUUUGUUAGUAUUUGCCAAUUUCCUCAAUAGCAACUGUAUUAGUUAUCAAUGGAAUGAAUCUUGAGUAACUUGUAGUAUCAUUUUUGGUUUUGAAUUGGCUAAUCUUUUUUGGAAGAAUGAAUUAGAUAUAUGAGCUUGAUUGCAAGCAAUAGUUGAGUUUGUUUUGAUCUUGGGGUAUUUGCCUUAUUGAUAGGACAUAGAUUUUGGGUCCAAAUAGUUGGAAAUUGAUGAGCUUAACCAGGACAUAGAUUUUAUCCCCUUGGGAGAACCACAACACUAACCAGUGUUCCUACAAAAGCUAAUAACCAUGAUUUAGAAAUGUGAUUUCCCUAAAGGGAAGCAUUUCUAAUCUUAUUUGAAGGGAAACUUUGAUGUCUUCCUUAAUACACUAGAAUAUUAAUUUAAAAACAACAAUUAAGGUUAUAUUAACUAUUAUAAUAAUUUAUAAAUUACAUAAAUAUGAUAAUAACUAUUAAAAUAAAAGUAUUAAACAUAAAAAUGUUUAAUUCUGUUGGGUAAAAACUUCAUAAAUAUUUUAUUAUUGAACUUCUAUCAUAUGAUCAAACAUAGUGAUGAUCCUUAGUUGGAUUAAUUAACACUUGUUUCAUAAAUUGAACAACAUAUAACAUGAUCAAUAAACAAACAAGUAAACAUCAUACUAGAUAAAACUAUCUCUUAAGAUUUCAAUUAUUACAUGUUUAAAUUACAAAUCAUAUUUUUGCAACUUUCGUAAAGUUAUGCAAUAGAUAUAAUUAAAAUUAUGAAACAUUGAAAAUGUAUAUUGAUUCAUUAUUCAAAUUCAUCAUAUCAUAUAUAUACUUUAGUUGUCCAUAAGAUCAAAUAAUAACCAAAAUUCGAAAAAUAUGUUUUAUGAUCCAAAAUUGAUUGACACUAAUAUCAAUUGUUACAUAAACUUUAUGUGAAAUAAUUAUUUUGGAAAAUCAAUUUGGAUGCAUAAAGCAUAAUAGUUAUAAGAAAUAAAGAAAUGACAAAAUAAUAAUUAUAUUUUUGUCUUAAUCCAUGAUACCGAUAACACUUUUAAAGUGAGUUCGAGUCACUUUGUGAAUUGUUGGGUCAAGGUAUUCAACUCAUCAUUCUCAUUUAGUAGAUGAGACAAUUGUGUGGUAUAUGUUGUUAUAAGCAAAACAACUAAAAACAUAAGAAUACAAUACAACUUAGGACCUUAACUUUAAAAAAAGAUUUAUAACUCUUAAUCUUCUCAUAAAAGAUUAUAUGAGAGUUAUACUCAUUAUUUUUAAACAUUAUAUAUAAAUUAAUGGACAAUAGUAAACUACCAACUUGAAUACAUUCAUGUAAUUAUAUAAAUUACACUUUUUCAUCUUCCUCUAUUAGUCAUAAACUUUAUAUAUAAAUUAAAUCUCAUAAUGAUGGAGUUACAAAAGUUGUAAUACCAUAUUCGUAUAAAUGAAAAUUUUCUAACUCCAUAUUUAUAAUUUUAAUUUUCUAUGUUAGAAGUUGAAUUUGUUCCACAUCGCCAAGUUACCGGGUUAUUAUGUUGUUUAUAUAUGUGGAUUGGGCACCCUCUCCCUUUAAGCAAGCUUUUAGGGAUGAAUUAUAUUCAAACCCAUUUAACAUGGUAUCAGAGCUUGGUUUGACUGGGGGUCGUGGGUUCAAGCCACCUCUUCGCAAUUCGUAUGUUUGUUCCUCAUUUGCAUGUUUGAAAGUCUAGAAAAGGGUAUUUGCAUUUGUUUGUUUGUCCCUUCACGUGUGGAUAUGGGGCCACACAUAAGAUAUGGUGUUAAAAAGCAUGAAAUGUAUAUUGAACCCAAAUCUUAUAAGUUUAAGCUUUUAGGAAAAUUAGUAAUUCAACAUUCUAUACAUAAAAUUAUUUGAUGUCCAAUCAAUUGAUUCACCUACCUAUCAAUUAAUAUACUUUUAAAUAAAAUAUAUUUCAAUCCAUUACACAAAUAUAAUUAAAACAAAGUACUAUAAUAAUAUGAGUAUGUGACAAAUAAAUAAAAUAAAAAUAAUCACAUGUUACAUGUAAACUAUAUUCAAAGGAAAAACCACAAGUCAUCCCCACUAUUAAACAAUCCAUUGUAUAAUGAUCAAUUACAAAGACCAAGUAUUACCAAACUUAAAAGUAUCUAAAUCAUACUCACUUUGCACAUUUUCUUUAUACUUGGAUCCUUUAAACUCAUUUAUCCCAAUGUGGAAGCAUCUUGAGUUCUAAUCAAGGAAAUCAACCUUUACUUCAUCAAGUUAAAGUCUCUUUAUAUCAUUGACAACCAUAUCAAGAUUUCUUUUGUUGGUUGCUUUCAAAGUCCCACUAGAAUUAGAUUGAAAUUUUUAUAAUCUCUAGAACUUUAACAUAUUAAUUCUUCAAUGAGUCAAUCAAAUAUUAAGUUUUAUCUCCAUAGAUGGACCUCAAUGAAUUUUUCGACAAAGGUGUUAACACUAAUUUCAUAUUAGUAAAAAAAAAUCAUGUGACACAUAUUGAUAUAUAUAUAUAUAUACUAAUUUCAUAUUCAUAGAUUGAAUUCAUGAGAAAAUUAUUCUUAAUUUUGUAAAAAUUAUAUAUAUAAGAAAGUUUUUAGGCUUACUAAAACACAUUACUAACCAAGUGGCAAUAUAUUUAUAAUUUAGGUCUCAUUAUUUUGUAAUCAAGUUUCAUUCAUUUGUAUCAUAUAUGAGUCCUAUUAUGUCAUACCUUACUCUUAUUACAUUGUACUUUGAUCUUAUUUGUUUAAACAUCGAUUUCAUUUCUUUAUAUGUACAUCACAUUUAUUUAUAUCUCAAUCUUAAUUAUUUGUAUCUUUAUUUAACAGUUUAGAUUUCAUUACAUAUUUUUAAAAUUUUAAUUUGAAAUUCGAUAUCUUAGUAUUUUUCUAAAAUAGCUACCUAUAAUCCUUGUAGAGUACUCAAAAUUCACUCCAACCCAUAAAAAAAAAUGACCUCUCUUCGUAAGUUGCUAUACUCAUUGCUAAACUAUAAUUCCAAAAUUAGCAGAACUUUUCAUACUUAUUCUAGGCAAUUAGAGUUGAGAUGUUCCGGGCAUAUACCAUAUUCUUUCAAGAUUUGAAAGAAAUGUUACGAUUUCAGCAUUAAAUAAUGCAUGUCGAUUAACAAUAUUGCUCAGAUUCUUUAGGCAAAGGUCCACAGACAAAAAAAUUAUUUAUUUAUUUUCUGAACCACCCCUGAAAUUGACACCUCCCAUACAGUCUGAUCUGCAUUUCUGUGGCACUAUUUCCCUUAUUCCUAACCAUAAAUCUGCUGCCAUCUCAAUAAUUCACAUCCUUAUCCACUCCUUAUCUAGGGUUGUAACACUUUUUUCAAAAAGAUUUUUUUUUUUUUUUUUCGAAGGGGUGGAUAAGGGUCCUGAGACAAGCUGUGGUAUAAUUAUAAACCCACUUGGGUAAUGGUUUCAUUGUCAGGGUAAUUCUAUUUAAGGUGAAAAUCAGCUGGGUCUAUCAUUCUUGUUUCCAUGUGACUGUUUCCAAGGAGAACUCAACCCUCAAAUCCAUCGAGCAGUCAUAUAAAAAUACACGCAGAUUUCAUAUCUUGAAGCUUGUCCUGUGUUCAGAUCGGAUAACUCACUCAUAUGCCUAAUCACUAAUCGCCAACUUGAGUGUAAAAAAAGCGUGGGGCGAUAUUAUUUGUAUAUGGGUUUGACUGUUUGAGAGAGAAAGGUGGGGUGUCCCUUGGAGGAGUCCAAAGGCCAUUUUUGAACCUGCCUUUGAUUAUCGCCAUGGCAAAUCAACAGCUUGUAGUAUAUAUAUAUUAAUGGAGACCAAGACUCAAAUAGAGAGAGAGACGCGGGGAUGCGAUAAAGAGAACAGUAUAGCCAAGAGUAUAUAAGCAUUUCUCUUGCUGUAAUGGUGAUUCAGAGACUGGAAAUGUGUAUAUCACUGCUGAAAAUGGCAGUAGAGUUUGUGCUUGUUUUCGCGGAGGCAGUCGGGCUAGUCAUCAACCACAAUGCCACGCCGCUUUUGGCAAACUCAGCCUCAGUUGGCAAUGAUGUUUCUGUCCCUUUUAUCGGUUUUCUUCUUUGAAUUCUUCGUCUUGUAGUUUCCUUCCUUACCAGAAUGCUCAUUGGCCAUUGUAUAUGUUGAGGGUUCUUUUUUGCCUUGAUAGAUUUUCUAAAGGAUGUGCAUGUUUGAUAGGAGAGAGUAUAUAUACACAUCUAUGUAAACUUUGAUUAAAUUUUGUUCUGGGUGAGCUUCAUUUUCUGCAAAUUCAUUUGCUGAUAGCUUUGGAAACGAAUCUUCAGUUGUUUGGGUGCUGAUUAUUUGCUUGCUUCACACGAUUUUAUGUGCUGUUCCUUUGGUAAUAAUCUUGUUGGGUGGAUCAAGGAGAAGAGCGAAGAUCUGAGGGAAAAUAGAGUCUGGAGAAAGAAAAGAUGUAAUGAUGAUUAAGAAAGGCUUUAAUAUACUUGCAAGAUCAGGAAAAAAUAUUUCUUGGGUAUCAAUUAUUUUCUUGCUUGAUAUGGGUUUGAUACUCUUUUUCAAUUGGUGAUCAUUCUGGGAAGAUCAAGAAGAAGAAAAUGGGGUCUAGAUGAAGAAAAGCUAUAAUGGCGAUUAUUAAGUGGAAUCAGAUGAAAUAAAAGUCUGUUUCCAUCAUUCUUAAUAUGGUUUCUUUUGUCAAAAAUGGAAGAUGACUUGAUUUUCAUAGUCCCAGCAGGACUUUAGUACUCAUCAAACUCAUAAAUUUUGAACAACUUUGAGCUAACCUUCUGCAUUAAUUUGGUGCAUCUGCGCAGUUGCAGAGUAUGAACACCCACAAAAUCUUAAUAUGAAUCUUUUGGGGCAAUAGCUUCUAUAUAUGAUGGAUGAUAAGAACAAAGCAAAUCUUGGGUUCUCCAUGGGCACGAUCAUUUAUCCGCCAUAUAAAAUGCAGAUUUUCCUAACACCAACCCCUUAUUUUAAUAAAGUCAAGUUAUUUUAAGGCCCCCAAUAUUAGACAUGCCUUAGAAUCAUUGGGUCUGUGAUUAAAAAUGUAGUAAUAUCAUUUAAAAUACCUAACACUGAAAUUUUGAUAAUUUUGAAUGCCAUAGUGUGGAUUUGAAGAAAGAAAUCGCAUCCAAGAUCUCUUCCUUUUCCUGGGAAACAUUAGUCUUGGUCAAUUAUGAACUGUUACACGUUGCCUAUCAUGGUCAUAUUUAUAUUAGCUUUGAUUUCUAUGGGGGAUAUAAUUUAUUUGUAUGCUAAUCAUAGAGGUGAUACAUGUGAUCCACAUGUCAUAUUUGGACUUGGAAGCAAUCAUUGGAUUCCUUUGAUGAACUGGCAAUGGAAGAAUACUAAUUGCUCCGGUCCCUUUCUUUUUUCAAAGUAGGAUGAUCAGGUCCUUUGAUCCCUUCGACUCCCUCUGGCUGUUUUUCUUUGUUCUUUUUUCAAUCAUCCAUAGCUUAAAAUUAAAGCCUUGAUGCCCUCCUCGACUUUCCCAAGAUAAAACACCUUAUCUUCACUUUAUUUCUCUUCCCUUUAAAUUUGAUUUUAGAUCUGAAAUCCAGGGCUUAUGACCCUGUAGAAGAAAGACAGAUAUGAAGCUUGGGAUGAUUUGAACUUCAGUUUGAUUUUCUGCACACUCUGUUAAAACUCCUGAAAUAUAGUUGUAUAUUGCAAUACAUUUAAUUGUUUGAUACAUCUGAACUAUGAUGUUCUAUUAGUAAAAAUUUCUUUGAAUCAAUCCACGGCUCAAAGUACCAAUUUCUAUUGAAACUUUUUUUCUUUUCCUGCUCAUUCAAUUGUUUCAUUUUCCACAUAAUGGUAUGACAACAUCAAGAAUACUUCUCAGCAAUUGCCUGCAGGUGAACCCAAAGCUCUUUUGGCUUAGAGAUCAUGACCAUGUGAUCAGAUCCUUUAAUCUCUUUAACAGCAUCAGGUGGGUUUUUUUCAAUCAUCCAGAGUUGAAAAUCCCUUUUCCCCAGCUUGUCUUCCUCUGAAAUAAUAAAGACACGUUUAACCGAGGCAUAUUUCUUCGACAACAUGAGCUCAUUUGACAUGUCUUCUUCAAUGAACAAGCGUACGGGUCUCAUCAACACAGUCCCUAGUGCCAAGUCCUGGAAUAUUUGUGCCCGAAAUGAUAUGACAACAACAAUGAAGGUCUCAUGAUUUUGGUUGUAAGGCCUUAAUAAAUGGAGUUCUCACCUCAGUUGGGCUCAACUGAUACACAUUCAGUGAUAAGAACAAGGGGCCAAAGCUGAAAGUGGUGGGAGGAUUGUUGGGGCCAUUAUCAUAUGUGAACUGGCUGUCUAGUAGAGGACCUUGUCUCCUGAGUGACUUCAAUAAGAAGUAGAAACCAGGCUAAAAGUCAGAAACAGGGGAAGCCUUCCCCUCUUAAUCAGCAAGUAAAUUUCUGUAAAAGAAAAAUAGUAUGUAUGAAGUACCUCUUGAUUGAGAGUGGAAAUGUUGAGAGUGGGACCAGGCAUUGAGGCAGUAACAAAAACAGCUACAGAAACCUUUUCUGGGAACUUCUCCAUGGCCUGAGAAAUGGCCAAUCCACCCAAGCUGUGUCCAACGAGAACCACCCUCUCAUCUGCAGGGAGUGACUCCACGAAGUCCCUCAGUGGCUGGAAAUACCAAGAAAUUGAUCGCAGAUCACCCACUUGUUUUGGGUUAAUUCCAGAAGCAGCCAAGUCCAGAGCAGUAACUUUGUGGCCAGAUGAUUUUAGUAGUGCCACAAUCUUGUACCAAGACCAGGCACCAUGGCAAGACCCAUGAACUAGAACAAAGUGCUUGACGGGAUUAGCCUGUCUCCCCUCUGAUGCCAUUGGAUACACUGAAGAAACAAGAAAAAUCAGAAAGGAAACAAAAAUCAUAUGCUUCUUCCUUGCUUCCAUACUCCUUUCCUGUUACAGAGAUGGUCAGCACCCCAGCAUUUUAAAGGGCACAAUUGGGUAGGUUUUCACUACAACUACUAAUCUAAUUGAUUAAAAAUUUUCCCGUGAAAUUGACUCUAGAAAUAAAAUAAGGACUAAGGAUUCAAGAACACGUACACUUUGACUGCCAGAGUUUAUGUCUUUUCAUAGAUGACACAUGCACCUGCGUCACACUCUUUUUCAAUGAUAAAGAAGUUAUGCAAAGGAAGAAAGAAUGAAAUAUACAGAGUCAAGUAGUUAACUCCUCCCCUUGAAUUCUUCUCUUGCCCGGAUUGGUUUGUAACUGCAAACAUUUUCUUUUCCCAAUGUGAUCUGUGGAUUGAGUUCUGAUCUCAAUUUGUUUUUGGCAUUUUUGGUUUUGCUUCUGCAAAUCUUGAGAUGUAUCUUUCAAUUAAUAUAAGUUGUGCAGUUAAGGUUUUUGGACAUAUAAAAUGUUAGCCAAACCUUUCCCGUGGCAGGUUGAAGGUACUUUGGGGUAGGCUUGGUCAUGCUUGAUACCUCAGUCUGACUCAAACAUGAUGUUUUCACCCAUUUGAAUUGAUCAAAGUUGUGUUGACUGGCAUGAUUCCUUUAAUAAAGAAGUUGUUUUAGGAUUAAGGCGUACAACACAAAUUUGACUUAAGUAGAUCUAUUUAAUUAUUGUGUAUUAACAUAAUUAUAAUCAAUUGAGUCGAAAAUGAAUUAAAUUAAAAAGUUAAUUUUAUUGAUUUAAAUAAGACCUAAUUCAACCUGAUUAUUAAAUUACUCAACUUAUUAUAUGAUUUGAACACUGCCCACCAACAUUAAUUGUAACCCGUGCUUUGAGUUCAGGUGGCAGCAAGAGUUUGGCCUUUGUUUUGAGUGUUGGAUGAAUGUUGGAUUAACCUUUCCCAUGGCUGUCAAAUUCCUCAUAAAUUAUUGGUGAUUGUAAUAAUUUCCUCAAAAAGUAAUGGUGCUAUAUGCUUCUUUAGGAUCCAUUGAUCUUAAUAAUUCUCUUCCUGGUAUAGGAAGAAAGUGACUAUUCCAUUACUGCAGCUUUCAUUGCUGCUUAUUUAUCAAGCAAAUUACAUUAUUAUUUUCACACCAAAUCUCCAAAUUCACCAUGUACUUAUCCUAUAUACUGCAUGGUGAACUUCAGAGAGCUAAAACAAGCUCUUAUUGAAUACAUGAUAGAUGAUGUCCCACUGACCCUUUUACUCUGAUACCUUGAAAUGAGAAAUUUGGAGGUUUUCCACAUCAAGCUUCUUGAAAUUACUGCGCCUUCUCGCAGCAAAGAACUUUCCCCAGUUGUAUGCUCUGUACUUUGGCUUUUCUCCCUUCGUCAGCUCCUCCAAGGGCUUCACCCAAACAUGGUGCCCGGGACUGAAAAAGACCGGAAUUGAGAACCUUUCCCUCUCUGAAUUCACCGUCACCCUGUGCUCGACACUUUCAUAAGUAUCGUUGCUCCAGACCUGGUUUAAUAUCAGUAUAAUUAGCCAAAAGGGUGCAAAAUUUCUUGAUCCCAACAGUACUGAUAAGCAUGUACUUAUAAUUCAAAGUUCUUGGGUGGUACCUGAAUUAUAUCC